UCUUCUUCCCUUCUUUUUUGCUGUCAUUGUCUUUUUCCUCAUCCUUUUUCUUCUCCUUCUCAUCAUCAUCACCCUUGUGUUCCUUUUUUUUCUCCUCCACAUCUUUCUGCUUCUUCCCUUCUUUUUUGUUGUCAUCGUCUUUUUCCUCAUCCAUUUUCUUCUCCUUCUCAUCAUCAUCACCCUUGUGUUUCUUCCUUUUCUCCUCCACAUCUUUCUUCUUCUUCCCUUCUUUUUUAAUGUCAUCAACCUUUUCCUCAUCAUUUUUCUUCUCUGUUCCAUCAUCAUCAUUCUCAUGUUCCUUCCCUUUCUUCUCUUUCUUCUUCUUCUUCUUCUUAUUCUCUUCUUUUUCCUCAUCCACAUUAUCCGCAUCCUCCUCUUUUUUAUCUGUGUCCUUCCUUUUCUCUUCAUCUUCUUUCACCUUGACCUGAUCCUUCUUUUCCUUCUUCGACUCUUUUUCAUCCAUAUCUUUCUCUUUGUGUUUAUAAUCAUCCUUGCCUUCAAUCUCUUCUUCCCCUUCAUCUAAAUCUUUACCCUUUUCCUUCUUCUCUUUUUUAUUUUUCUUCUUUUUAUCUUUUUCCUCCCCCUCUCUAUCAUCUUCUUUAUCUUCUGAGCCUAUAAUAUCUUUGUUCUUCUCCUUUUUCUUCUUCUUCUCUUCCUUGUCCUUCUUUUUAUCCCCGUUGCUCUGUUUCUCUUCCUCGUCCUUCUCUUUGCCACUCUUGUUUUUUUUCUUCUUUUCCUUCUUGGUUAUGUCUUUCUCCUUCUUCUUUGAUUUCUCCUCAUCUUUAUCAAUAUGUUUCUCCUCAUCCUUUUUAUGUUUUGGCUUCUCUUUUACCACUGACUUGGUCUUUAAUUCAAGUUCCACCUCAGCCUUCUCCUUCUUUAAUUCACCUGGUUGUGCAUCCUUGGUCUUGACCACUACAUGGGAUUCUUCCUUUUCAACCCUUUCUUCCCCUGGAUGUUCAAUUUUGUCUUCCAUCUCCAGAUUAUAUCCUAAAAUUUUAAAUGUAAAACUGUUUCCUCUGGACCUGAGAUUACCCGAAACAAAUGUAAAUGUAAGACGAGUAAUCUGAGAACAAAUGCAGUAGAAUAUGAAAAUCCUAAUACUUGGUGAAUUAUAAAAUCUCAUAAUUAACAAGAACAAGAAAAGCCAUUGUGUUUGCCUAAAUAAGAAUAAAUUGUUUACGUUUAGAGCUCUGUAGUCAGCACAUCACAGCCAAUGCUUAAACAAUUGGAAGAUUACAAAUAUUUCAUCUACAUGUUUUACUAUAAAAAUGCAAGCUAAUGAAACUUAUAUUCCUUUCUUCAAUCCUCAUGAAAAAUCGACCCAAAGAGUCUGCUGGCGAAGUGGAUACGGUUGAACAACGCCGUCAGGGCGGCCCCAUUGAUCGGCCCGAUGCCGCAGAUGCCGGUCCAUGUACUAAUUAAAAUAAAUAUUUAAGCUUCAAAAUAUGCAGUUUUGACUGAUCACUGCUAGAAAGUUAUAUCAAAUGUCUCGUCUUUUUCGUAUAUAGUUCCUAGAAUAUUACUAGAGUAGAGACUGACUAUCAAUUUUGGUGUGCAAAACUGACAACUUGAAAAGGUAUGGAGGAUGGAUCUCAAGCAAUGAAAAAUUUCAAAGAUGUGAAAUUCAAUAGGACUGCAAGAUUGGAUUAUAGACCAUAGACCUCAUUACAUUCUGCUUUGUUGCACACACUAGUUCCUGAAAGCAAAAGUAAGGCUCUCCCCAGACAAAAGGGGAUUCUUUCAUCUACUAUGAUAUGAUUGGUUCUGAGGAAAAACUAUCACUCUAUCCAAGUUUGCUACAAACAGGAAUUUUGAGGCUUGUCUAGUCUACAAAAUAUCUUAGCAAAAGCAUUAGAAUCCCGUGGAAAGCCGUGUUCGAUGACAGUCGUAUGUAUGGGUUGGAGAGAUUAAUUUCAGCUGAUUCUGUUAUAGCCUAUAAUCUUUAAACAUUAGGGGGUUUCUUCCAAAUUGACUUUUAUUUUUGAUUUUCAACACAAAACACAUUUUGGUCCUUCACUGCUAUAUAUUUUUUUCUAAACAACGGUUUGAGUACAGAAUACGUACAGUAUUUGAUAACUUUUUCUCUACAUUCCCAAUACACAAAGUAAGUAAAUAAUUUGAUAAAAUCAAACUGAACUGAUAAAAGAAAGAAGAAAAAAAAGAAGCCAUUUACAGAUUCAAGAGAGAGACAGUGAGAGUGCACUUGAAUAGUAAGGAAUUAAGGAUCUGUCCUCAACUAUCUAAUUGCGUGCUUAAAUUGUGAAACCAGUAAGUAAACAAACCAAGAUGAACACAUCAAGUAAAAGCAACAACGACAAAACUUCAUUUCUCAUUCACAAUUCCAAAGACAAAGUAGCAGCAGCUAUAGACAUAUAGUGAUUUGCAAGAAAAAUUGGCAACAACUCCAAUUCUGUGUGUACCUUAAUUUGUGUUUCCCCAAAGGAAAAGAAGAAACCGAUACAGAUUGCUGUGUUGUGUUUGUAAGUAACAGUGAGAGAGAGAGAGAGAGAGAGAGAGAGAGAGCGAGAGAGCCUGUGGUUUUGCAGGUUAGCUUAGAGUGUGAAGAGUGGUGUGGCUAUUUGUUUUGUAUAUAUAUCCUAUUAGGAAUGAAGGCUGUUUGGGCAUUGAUUACUUCACAGAUAGCCACCUGUCAGUCUUUUCGUCAACACGGAAAGGACCGAAAUUUUACACGGACGGACCUUAAACCUUUGCGUACGUAUCCAUGGUUGUCUUUAACUCCCUCCUUCCUACGUCGGUUCUUUCUUCUCCAACACUUGCGACACCUGCGACUUGACAAAUAUCACACUUCUGACGCGGUUUAUUGGAAGUUUUAUUUCAUUAUUUACUGUCGUCCCCUUGAAACUGAGUGAUCCAUUUUACUCUCCUACCCGACCAACCAUUUUUUUACCUACUCUUAACUUCAUCCAGAAAUAUAUUAAUUUUGAUGAUGUGACAUGAAUAUUUUGAUAAAUUUGCACAAUUGAACCAAUUACUUGUCAAAUUCAGUGACUUAUCUAGCAAACUAGAGCCUACGUGUUGAAUGUAGCUUUUGCUUGCGUAAUUUUGCCCCAAAUUGGGGAGAUGAUGAUGAAAUUGGCCCUACUUGUGAGUGGUUAUAGUGUAAUACGGUAGUACGGUCAUGUUGUAUAACUUGUGUUGUGCUUUUUCACUGUGAAAUUCAAAGUUAACCACACCAUAAUAUAAACCACACUUGGAUAGAAUAAUAUAAACAAGAAAUAAAAAUAUUGUACAAGAGAUUGACAAGGUUUGGCAAAAUAAUGCCUACAUGCCCGAAUAGAGUACUUCACUAUGAGAAUACUAACAGUAUAAGAUACACUUGAGUUAAAUCAACAUAACCCAAACCCAAAACCCUUGUACACCCACUUACAAUGUUUACCAAGAACUCUAUCUCUCACCCACAUAUUUCUCCCUGUUUUUCACUCUCUCUGCGCUCUCUAACUUUCUCACGGAAUGCAACCAACACAAAACAAGCUACACUUCUAUUUAUAUAGAAGCCUUGAGUGGGCACCAAGCUAGGGGGAAGCGUCUGCAACAAGCUUCCUUCAAUAUGAAGACUUUACCUCCUCACAACUUUUACCAAAGCCAUCAUUGCAUGAAACUACCACUUGAUGCACUGCCUAUUAGCUACACCAAAAGUCAAAGAUUGCUACACUAUAUUUACCUUGUAGCUUAUCCCACACUUUUAACUUGUGGGUCCAAUUAUCAUAAUAUUUACACCAAUUUUAACAAUCUCCACCUUGGUGAAAAUGCCAUGCAAAACUCGGAGCAUCACUAAGAAUAAUUAAACCAUUGGCCUUCACAAAACACACCAGCUACACAUCACAUAAAUCAACAAAUUUGGCCCAAUCCCGAUUCAUGUUACACGACUAUUGAUGCUCAAAAUGGCUCGGCCAAUGUUGAGUCCAACUUAGUGAUGAGGUGUGUGGAGUCUUCAGUAGAGAAGAAGGCUAAGGCCUUUGAUAAGGGGGGAACCUGCAGAAGACAAAAUGGGAGAAGCAAUCGUUAAGCUUUGGACACCGGUGUGGUGCCGGCCAAAGGCUCUCCUAUGCUUAAGCCAGCUAUAAGUGGUAAUUUUGGCAAAGUAACAAUAAAGGUGAGAAAGUAGAUACCCUUUUUACUUGGGUACUGUUCCCUAUUUAUAAGGAGGUGAAAGUGGGAGGUUUGCACAAAGUUUCAAUGUGGGACUUUGUGCAAGUCGUCGUGGUGGCGACACGUGUCCUAGGGAUUAGGUUUGGCAAUUAGGAGCUUCGGCAGGUGUCUGGCACAUCGGAAGUGUGUCUUCCUUUGGCAAGGAAGAAGGCGUGGCUGUCUUGGUGCUAGUCGCUUUGAGGCUGAGUAUGCUCGAUUGAUUAUGGUGUAAACAGUAGUCCCCCAAGUUUGAGGUCAAGAAGUAACUUCUGGGUUGGGAACUUGUGAGUUUUCGUGACCGAGCAUUCCAGCUUUAGUGGGAGCCGUAAGGCAUUCCCUAAUCCCCCAAGUUGACAAGCUAGAAGUUGCGGCAACACUUGGUAGCUGUGUGAGCUUCUAGGACUAUUUGGUAGCUGGGUACCCAAGUUUUUGGCAAGGAAGCUGGGUCUGGGGCCUUGAAUGAUGAGCCCUUAUUCUUCUUGCAAUGCCUACUGUUCGGCAGGCUUCCUUCUUCUUAUUUUUUUAUUUUUUUUAUUUUUUUAUUAUUUAAGUCUUGGGCCUUGGAAAUUGAGUGCAUCAGCAAGGGAGUGGCUCGUGGGCCUCCAGGUGUUAGAGCGGGUUGUGACCAUGUCUUGACUUUGGGAGGAAAGGGGGUGGGCCUUUUUUGUUUCGGCAGCGUAGCUGGGCCACUUUUGGGCCUAGGCAGGGCCUUAGGGUCUAGAAUUUAGAGAGGCAUUCAGCACCAUGGGCCUAUGGAUUAAUUCGAAAGGACCUGGGGUCUUUUUUCUUAGAGUGGGCUGAGCCACGGAGAUAUUUGUUGGGGCUAGGGUUAAGAUUUGUGAGAGGGGUGUAAAUAAGUUUCUAUAGCUCUUGCCGUUCGGCAAGAAAUAGCUGGGACCUUUUUGUAGCUGGGUCUGGCAGUAUCCCUUCGGCAAGGACCUUCUUUCGGCAAUUGGAGCUCUUCUUUCCUUCGGCAAGGGUGUUGGGUUCCAAGGCAAGGUUAAGCUGGGUUUUGGGGGUUCUUGCCGAUCGGCAAGGUUGUUUUCGAAGGAGUUGGUCCUUCAGCAGUCGGGCACUUCAUUGAAGUUUCGGUAGGAGGGUGAAGCCGGGCUGCAUGGGUAUUUCGGUAAGAAUUGGUUUUGCUACAGCAGCUUUUGUGGGCGCGCAUUGGAUAGUUUGGCAGCAGUCCCUGCCAAACGGCAGGGUUGGCAUGAGUUUUGUUGAAAGGUUCGUGAGCUAAAGAGGGUGAACUAUUCGUGUGGCUACGAUUCCAGCAUAGCUUCGGCAAGGUAACAUUCUUGCGUCCCUGUUUUUUGUUCGUUCUCGGACCUUGCCGUUCGGUAAGCUUGACUUUGAGCCUUGAUUAUUGCUUUCCAAGCUUCAGCAAGACAGUGGGGUCGGCAAGGGUGUCCAGAGUAAAUUUAAAUUGUUUGUGUUUAAAGGGUGGGGCUGGGCAUAAGUUGGAGUCGGGCCCUUUGUGGUGGCACGGAUUUGAACUGGGUCACCAUAGCUUCGGUAGCAACUGGGCUAUAUGACCCGGGUCUAUUAAGGUACGCAUUUUUUCGCAGCUCCUCCUUUUGGUUUGUUCAUCCCUUGCCGUUCGGCAAUGGGGGGUUGAGAGAUUUAUUUUGCUGUUUUUUAUGUUUAGCAAUUUGUGAAAUCGAAAAAAUUUGGUGUCGGCAGAAGUGCUUGGCUAGGCUACACGAACCGAGCGAGGUGCUGAAGUGUGAGAAGGGACUUGAGGACUUAGAGCUGGGUCUUGUGAAGGUAAAAUAUAUAUAUAUAUUUUUUUUGGCAGAGCUGGGCUCGUGGGUUAGAGCUGGGGUCUUUGAUUUGUGAGCUGUGGUAAGCUUGGGCCUGCCAGGUUGUGCUGGGGUGAGCUUGGUCCUUCAUGCUAGUUCCUCACUUGUUAUAAAGAACCUAAAUUGCUUUGAUGGUUGUUUGACUUUGCAGCAGGGGAUGUAGACUUGCUGUGAAUUUCGUGGGUUUCUAAAUAAUUCUGCACGGCCCUUGCCAUUUGGCAAGGCAUAAGGAAUUUGCUGAGUCUUGACUCGGCGAGAGUGCUUUUGUCGUAGCUUCACCGUUGUAUCUGGGAGCUAGGCCCUUGGAUUUAUGUCAAGAACUUUGGCAAGAUAGGCCCAAGAGGUAUUGGAGCUAGGCCAUUGGCGUGUUGGUGGUGCCUAAUCCCUUAACAAGAGCAAGACCACCCUUACGUACGUGUCUUCGGGUGUUUUAGUGUAGGUGAGUUUGGAGCUGGGCCUCUUCGGUCGCCACUUGGUAGCUGGGCCUUGAUUUCGGUAAAGGUAAGAAUUUUAUGACCUCCCAAAAUAAGUUUUCAUGGGACUUGCCCAUUUCGAAAUGGUGGUAACUUUGGUUUUUGUAGGCUUGAAGGGCUUGGUUUCGGAGCUUGGUUUGAGCUUGUAACUUCUUUCAAGAGGCUAGGCCUCUCGAUUUUUGUUUUUUGAACCUUGGUGGGCGUUUAGCUGGGUCCCGAAGGUUUAGGCAAUAGCCGGGGUGUCUUGGGGCUUCGGCAAGACAAGGAAGAAAUCGGAGCUGAGCCUUUAGAGCUAGGCCUGCGUCAGAGCUGGGUCAUUAGACUCUUGGCAAGAGCUGGGCUUCUUAAAGCUAGGGCACGGAUUUUGUUGCUUUACUUUUAGAAAAAAGGUGAAUGGUAAGCCCUCCCGUUUUACUUCCACGGGUCUUGCCUUUCGGCAAGGUCCCUUUGAAAUCUCUUCGCUGCUUUUUUUUGUUUAAAAUAUGAAUUUCAAAUUAUGUGUAGGUACAAGAAAUUUGAGGGGAAGUGAGGGGGUGCUAGGGUUUUCUCAUGAACCGAGGCGUGGGUACCCUUGGUUCGUUAUAAAUAGGAACUUGGGGUGGCUAAGGCACUACACCUGAGUUUUGGAGAAAAAGUGCUAGAAAGUGAGAAGGAGAAGAAGAUUUCCGCCGAGGUUUGGUGGUGGUGCUUGUGGCCAAGGUGAUUUCCGGCGAUUCUUUCGUGGUGGUGCAAACAAGGUUAGGCCCUGUUUCUUUGAAAAUUUUGAAUUGAAAUGUCUUUCUUUGUAUGAACAUGUUGAAGGCUAGGAAGAACACCUUGAAUAUGAGCAUGAACAUGAUGAACACGUUGAACAUUGAGAUGAACAUGUUGAGUGCCUGUUUGUAAACCAAAAGACAUGUAGAUUAUCCAUCUUUUUAUGUUGUUGUGUUUCAAUCCUCCUUGCAUGUGCAUUAGUUCCUUUUUCUUAUUUUUGCAUAUUGUAGAUGUCUGAAAAUUCUGAUAGAGAAAGUCAUGAACCCCCUGCUUUUGGUGGGGAUGAUACUAAGAGUGAAGAGCCCAUCCAAUAUAUUUGUUAUGAAGAGGAGAGUUUAGAGACAGAGGGUGUGGUAGAAGGUAUUAUAGAAAGUAGGGUGGUAGGGCAUGAGGGUGAGGGGGGUGAGCCAUCAGUAGACUCCGGGUCAGCUGCAUAUAGGGAGAUGUAGAGGAACUAUAUAGAGUUAGAGGCUAUAGCGAACCGAGUUCUAGCCUUGCCUCAUACGCUAGAGGUGGGUUCGAGCAACCAGGCAUCACCAUCGGGGUCCGUGAGUAUAGCCGUGGCCUCAGUUUCAGAGGGAGUGGACAUUCGGGUUGGUGUCCUUUUGGUGAGGCGGAACACCCUUACAGAAGCAAAGUUGGCCCAGCUUCGGACAAACUAUUGUGUUCCACCCUAUGUGGGCUUGAGGUUACCCACUGCAGCUGAUGUGAUUAGAUAUCCUUCGAAUGGCUCUGUGAUGAUUUUUACGGAUAUGUACUGGCAUGGCUUCAGACUACCAUUUCAUCCAUGGGUGCAGAUGACGUUGGCUAAGUUGGGAUAUGCGCCGGGGCAGUAUAAUCCCAACAUUUGGAUUCUUCUUUAUGGAGUUUACAUCGCUUGGUGGCUGGGUGGGUUGAGGGAGCCAACAUUUGAGCAGUUCAUGUACUUGUACUCGGUUUCGAAACAACAGGGAAGUUUUGGCUGGGCACAGGCCAAUUGCCGAAAGGCGAUGGGUUAUUUUAUUAGUCGCAAGCCAUCUACGCAAAAGUCUUGGAGGAACAAGUGGUGCAUGGUUCAUGGUGACUAGGAGUGUCCGCCAGGGAAGACCUUUACCCAACACAUUCCUACCCACUUCCAGUCUAUAGGUCCUUGGCCCCAUCCCUUAAGACUGUUUGGUGUUUGAUUUUCUUUUUCCUGUUCUCACUCUUGGUUCUUUAUUUUUACGUGUGCAAGUGUAAAUGACUAAGUAGUAUCUAACCUUUGGUGUAGAUUUGGUGAAGUGGGGGCCUAUCUCCAAGGAGCAAGAAGACUAUGUUGAGAGGGUGAGGUCACAGUUAUCAGAGACCGAGAGUGAGUGCCAAAACCUAGUCACCCAAAAAAAUUUGUUGGAGUCUAGACUUCUGCAAGGAAGUAAGUACCUGGGUCACUUUUGUUGUUUGUCUUCUGAUUCCCUUGUGGUUGCGACUAACAUAGUUUUGUUAUUUUUGAUGUGCAGUGGCGGGUAUUAUAAAAGGGAGCACGAAGGUGGUAGUAGAUAUUGAUGAUGCCGAGAUACAGAAGCGGCUAAGGGAGUCUCAGGCCAAGAAGGCGGAGCAGGGGACUGGGAAGCACCCUAGAGAUAAUGAUGAGUGCCGGGUUGUUGACAUGUUGGGAAAGAGGAAGGCCUUGGAGGAAGCUUAUCAGCAUGUGAUGGGGGCGGGACCGAGACUUCCUCCCUUUGAUCUGCAGGCGCCGCCGAAGCUCCCCUUUGGCAUGGAGGACAUUUUUGCUGAAGGGGUGGAGAAUGUGGACUUCGGCAAACUACGUUAGUAGAAGGAGGUGAACUUAGCCAUGCAUCGGCAGGAGGUGCCCCUGGUGAACGUCUUCCUAGAAGGCAUGAAGAGUGACCCCAAGGCCCUGGCGAGGACCCCGGCCUCUUCCUAUAUAAAUCGGGCCUAGAAGACGAUCCUCACUUCUGCCUAUGUAAGUUGUGACUUUGUUUGUGAAUUUUUUUGUAUCAUUCUUGUUUGGUCUGACUGAUGUUGUUUUGUUUUGCAGGCCUUUGCGAGAUGUAUGUCAGCAUGGCCAAGGUAGAUAAAGAGAUCCAGAGGCUGAAGAGGCGUGAUGAGAUGGCUAAGAGCAAAAUGGCGGAGGUGCAGGAGGCCAUCCGGGAGAAAAACACCCUGCUGUUGCAAAAGGCGGCCCUAGCCAAGGAGGUGGAGGAGCUAAAGCGGUCGAAGGCCGAGGAGGUAGCUGCUGCCCGAGUCAAAGCGAUCGAGUCGUUCCGAACUUUAGAAGAGCUGAAGAGUUAGAUCAUGGACCAACUAGUGGAUGAGCAGCUUCACUUAAAGGAUAGGCUGGUUAGGUUCAACCCCUCGGUUGAGAUUAACUUUGAUACGAGUGGCGAGCCUCCUGCACCUAGUCCCACUACGGAUGCUACUGCUCUGACGCCAGAGGUAGAGCCAGCCACUGGGGAUGCCUCCUCUACUGAGUCUUGAAGGCGUUGCCUUCUUUAUGUAUUCUAGCUACCAUGUUGGAACACUUGAUGUUUAUUUUUGCUUUGUAUGAACAUGUUGCCUUGUGUGAAGCAAGGUUAUUUUGAUUUCCUAUGAUAUGAGACUUGUUGUCAUAUGGUAUCAGUUGUGCUAGCAAAAUGAUAAUUAUGUGAGUCAUAGGAAUUAGCCAGAGUCAGGCGUUUCAUUCAAAUAAGUGCCGAAAGGCAGAUGGUACAAGAGUUGGUUGAGUCAAGGCUCAAGACCGAAGUAUAAGAGAACAUAUUGUCCUAGGGUCUAGGUAUGUUUACUUAUAGUAGUACUUGAGGUGAUUAGCGUUCCAAGGAUGAGGCAACGUCUUGCCCUUGGGAUUACGAAGCUAAUAAGUGCCGGGAUGACAGAUUUUGAUAAUCUCAUAAGGACCUUCCCAUGUGGGGCCUAAGGUACCUUCAGUAGGAUUUUUGGUGGCCAAGGAAACCUUGCGCAUGACCCAGUCCCCCAUUUUGAAAGCACGGGGCUUGACUCGGGAGUCGUAGUAUUUGGCGAUGCGCUGUUUGUAUGCGACAUUGCACAUGUUGGAUUGGUUACGGAGCUCUUCAAUGAAGUCGAGGUUUAGGGCUAACUGCUCGUCAUUGGCCUUGGCAUCAUAAGUGGAGGUUCGGUAUGUGGGCUAGCCAAUCUCCACUAGUGCCACGGCUUCGGUACCAAAUGAAAGAGAGAACGGUGUUUCUCCUGUGGAGGUACAGAAGGUGGUGCGGUAGGACCAGAGAAUCUCUAGAAGUAGCUCUGGCCAGCAGCCUUUGGCUUUGUCAAGUUUGGUCUUUAGGGUCUUCUUGAUAAUUUUGUUCACGGCUUCGACCUGGCCAUUGGACUAAGGAUGGGCUGGUGAUAAGUCCAUAAAUAUACUCAUUUAUGUACUCUUUUUACUUUGGUUUUGUAAGAGAAUUAGAUUUAAAAAGGGCUUAUUACUUUAUUUUUCUGAUUUUCAGCUUUUCUGCGCUCUUAGAAGGUUUUUAAGGGAAAAUCAACUUUUCGGAGGAAUUUUAGCGCAAGACCAAUUGGAGAUGAAAGCUAACAUCUUGAAGUUCAAUCUAUGAUUUUUCUAGAAUUUUCUACCAAGCCAAUUGGUACAGUAUUGCAAGUAAAGUUAGCCCACGUGCAGACAGGACAGUUUCGUACAUGUUACGUGAAUGUGAAGAAACGGAAGCCUUUCCGAAUUUUUCAAGUUACGUGCUAUAUAUGGUUGGAAAGAUAAGACAUUUAUCUUUCUAAAAUAUAUUUUUAAUAAUUUUUCUACAAGGUCGAAGAUCCCCAAAUCGUGUGAACAUUGGGCUGAGCUGUAUUUCCCAGUGGAGUUAGGAAUUGUGAUUUUUACUUUCCUAUUUGGAUUCCUUGUUUACCAAGACUUCUUGGACGACUUUUCAGUCAAUUUUAGGGUUUAGAACUCUGAUAUAAGUGAUAUAAAAGAUGAGCCAAGGCCUGAAGAAAAGCAUUCACGUCCUAAAGAGAUCAACGGCGCAAGAGGAGAAAGCUGCGAACGAGUUCUUUCUUUUCCUUCCUUCUUUUAAUUUUCAGUUCUUAUGUAUUUAUUUUUGAGUUCAUCCAAGACCAUGUGUAACUAAUUUCUUGUUAGUUAGGGCUUAAUCUUGAAGCCCUAAAUAUGAUUUCAAUUUUAUAAACAAGUUUAAUAGAUUUUUAGUUUCUACAAGCGUGAUGAUUUCGGUUUCUCUAUGUUAUGUGAAUUCUGAUAUUUUGUUUCUUUGAGUAGCUAACUUAGAAGCAUGUAUUGGAAUUAAAUUGUUGUAGAACAUAGGUCAAUUGCCAUAUUGAAUGUGUUCUUGUUUGCAACGAAUAAUUGGGUUAAGAACUAGUUAUGAGAAAUCGAUUCUUGAAUUCCUAAUAACAAAUGCCAUGUUUUAGGGUUUCUGUGACACUCAUAUUCUCUUUGAUCUUAAUGGAUUCUUGAUUGUUAAUUUGAGUAAAUGCCAUACUAAAUUUCAAUUAAGAAUACACGUAUUGAUGUAAAUGCCAUACACUUUACAUACACUUAAGAGAGAAUCAUACAACUCGAGUCAAAUGCCAUGAUCUUGUUGUGAGUGUCGUCAUCAUAUGCUUGCUAGAAAUUGAUUAUCUAUUGUUGUUUAUGGAUUGAUUGAUUGUUUGGAGGUGGAUAGUAAGUCCUAGCUAUUGUUCUUGAUUAAUUUUAAACAAAUUUCUCUUAAACUCUAAUUUAAAUUCUCUUUUGUUUCCUUUUCCUUAUUUUGUUUGAUUCAUAAAAACAAAUCAAAACCCCCCUUGGUGUUGGCGUGUGUUUGGAAGUCCUUUGUUUUGAUUUUCAUUGCGUGACAUUGAUAAACAUCUCUUUAGAUCACAAUCUCCGUGGGAUCGACCCUUGCUUGCUUACUAUACUAUCAUUUGAUUAGUGCACUUGCAAGGUUUUAAUAUUGUUGUUAAAAUUUACCAACAGCUGGGGAGGCGAAGCAAAGACGGAUCUUGAGGUUAGAACAAAAUUGUUUGAAUUUGUAUUGUCAAAUUGCCGGCCAUUGUCUGUGACGAUGGUGUUGGGGAUGUCAAAGCGACAUAUGAUAUUUUGCCACACAAAGGUUUCGAUGUGGGUUGCAGUGAUGGUGGCUAAGGCUUCGGCUUCAGCCUAUUUGGUGAAGUAGUCUACGGUUACAACUGCAUACUUGACUUGGCCCUUGCCCUCAUGCAUCAGUCCAAUGAGGUCCAGUCCCCAUUGGGCAAAUGGCCAAGGACUGACCAUGGCUGUCAAUGGUUCAGCUGGAAGUUGUAGGAUAUUGGCAAAUCUUUGACACUUGUCACGUUUCUGGGUGAAGGCCUGGGCAUCAGCGUGGAGUGAGGGCUAGAAGUAUCCUUGGUGAAUUGCCUUAUGAGCCAGUGAGCAUGUGCCUGAGUGGUUGCCGCAGAUGCCUUCAUGAAUUUCCCGAAGGACAUAAUGACCUUCCUCUAGAGUCAGACAUCGGAGGUAGGGAAGGCUGAAACCCCGCUUGUAUAGGGAGCCGUUAAUGAUCAAGUAUCGGGCAGAACGAUAGCGAACGCGUUGUGCCUCAGCAGAAUUAGCCAGUAGUGUUUGGUUCUGCAAAAACUGAAGAAUGGGGUCCAUCCAUGUAGGGCUAUGAUCAAUGGUACAGAUGAGUGGGGCUUGUGUAUUGGGCUGGUCCAAGAAUUCGAUGUGGAUGUGGCGACCUAUGCCCUGCUCCAAGGCUGAUGCUAACCUGGCCAACACAUCAGCAUGGCUGUUCUCAGAGCGUGGCACUUGGCUUAUAAGAUGAGCGUCGAAGGUUGCAAGCAACUGUCGGGUAUGCUGGAGGUAAGCUGUCAUAGAGGCGUCCUUGACCGUGAAGUCCUGGUUGACUUGAUGGACAACGAGCAGUGAAUCGCUAAAUAUCUGAAUUUGUUUGGUGUCCAUCCUCUUGGCUAGUCGAAGGCCAACUAAGAGUGCUUCGUAUUCGGCCUCAUUGUUGGAGGUGUGGAAUUUGAAGUGGAGGGCAUACUCCAAGGCAACCUUGUCUGGGGAGAUGAGAACGAGGCCGGCCCCACACCCUUGGGCAUUGGAAGGGCCAUCCACAAAUAAAGUCCAUAGGGGCUGGGUCAGGUCUAAAGUGCCUUUGCUGGCGGCGUGGUCCUGGCUCGAAGGAAGAUUGGGUUCGGGUAUAAGCUGGGUAGCUACUGAGGCUUGGGGUUCCGUGAAUUCUAAUAAGAAGUCAGCGACUGCCUGGCCCUUUGUAGCUAGGCGAGGUUUGUAGUGUAUAUCAAACUCACCAAGUUCAAUGGCCCACUUAACCAACCUCCCAGAAGUUUCUGGUUUCUGCAACACCUGUCGGAGCGGUUGGUUGGUUAAGACAUGGAUGGUGUGAGCUUGGAAGUAUGGUAUAAGGCAUCUAGCCAAGACUACCACGGCGAAGGCCAAUUUCUCAAUGUCUAGGUACCGGACCUCGGCGUCCUGCAAUGCUUUACUAACAUAAUGCACUGGGUGCUCCGUGCUAUCCCUUAGUCGGAUGAGCAUAGAGCUAACUGCCGUAACCGAGACGGAGAGAUAAAUCAUGAGGAUGUCUCCGGGCCCAGAGGUUGACAAUAAAAGGGCCCGGCCUAUAUACUCCUUGAGCUUUCUGAAAGCCUUCUCACACUCGGCAGUCCAGGUAAUGUUGCACUUGCUACCCUUUAGUGCCUUAAAAAAUGGGGCACAGCGGUCAGUGGCCUUGGAGAUAAAUUUGGUCAAGGCUGUGACACGUCCUGUAAGGCUUUGAAUGUCCUUGACUGUCUUAGGUAUCGUCAUGUCUAAGAUGGCCUGGAUCUUCUCUGGAUUGGCCUCAAUACCCCUCUGGCUGAUCAUGAAGCCAAGGAAUUUGCCUAAAGCCACCCCGAAUGCACAUUUUGUGGGGUUAAGCCUCAUUCUAUACUGCUUCAAGAUGGUGAUCAUGGUAGAGAGGUUAGGGAUGUGCUGGUCAGCUAUGCGACUCUUGACUAGUAUGUCAUCAACGUAUACCUCCAUGGUGUUGCCAAUCAAUGGGACAAAAAGGCUGUUCACCAGACAUUGAUAAGUAGCCCCGACAUUCUUGAGGCCGAAGGGCAUCACCUUAUAGCAGUAGAGGCCACGAUCCGUAAUGAAUGAGGUGUGGGCUUGGUCCUCGGGGUGCAUGAAGAUCUGAUUGUACCCUGAGUAAGCAUCCAUGAAGCUAAGGAGGGCGUGGCUAGCUGCGGCGUCAACCAGCUAGUCAAUGCGGGGUAGGGGAAAGCUAUUCUUCGGACAGGCCCGAUUAAGGUUGGUGUAAUCUACACACAUGUGCCAGCUCUUUCUUGGUUUGCGGACCAUCACCACAUUAGCCAGCCAUGUGGGAUAGUCAACCUCCCUGAUGAAUCUGAUACUACUCAGUCUAACCACCUCCGCCCUCAUGGCCUCAUAGCAUUCGGGGUCAUAAGCGCGACAUUUCUGUCGAACGGGUCGGAUGUAGGAUUAAUGCUGAGCCCAUGGGAUAUGAUGUUUGGUGAUAUACUAGGCAUGUCAUUGUAGGACCAUGCGAAGACUUCAUAGUUGAGGUGGAGGAAGGCGAUGAGGUCAUAGCGAAGCUCUUGUGAGAGAGAGGUGCCGAUCCGAGAUGUCGUAAUGAAGAGUAACCAGCUCCAGGUCUUCCACAGGUUCGGCUUGCUGUGUGACAGACUCCUCCCUGGGGUCCUUAGGUCGUUCAGUGCCAGCUUAAGGAGGGGCUGGAGCCUUGGUUACUGCGAGGGCCUCACUCCUAUGUUGGCGAUUAGUGGAUGUGACUGCUGAAGCAUAGCAGCUUCGGGCGCCAAGUUGGUCGCCACGCACCGUGCCUAUGCCAUUAGGCGUAGGGAACUUCAGUAACAACAUAUGUGUGGAAAUAAAAGCCCUCAUUUGGGCUAAGGCGGGGCUCCCAAGGAUGACGUUGUAAGCUGUGGGACAGUCAACAAUGAGGAAGGGGGUGGUGAUCGUCGCCCGCUGGGAUGCGGCUCCAAUAGAUAUAGGGAGAUGAAUGCUUCCAAUGGGUUGGACAACAUCACUAGAGAAGCUUACGAAGGGUGUGAUGCUUCGGUCAAGUAAGUAAGAAGGGACCUGGAGCCCAUUGAAAGCGUCAGCAAACAUCACACUGACCGAGCUACCAGUGUCCACCAAGAUACGCCCAACGUCGAAGUUAGAAAUGUCCCACGGAUAAUGAGUGGGUCAUCAUGGGGGAGGAUAACACCACGCUCCUCCUCAUCGCAGAAGGUAAUGGGGGCCCAGCCUGAUUUUUGGGUCUUUGGCAAGCGUCACUGCUCAGUGCUAAAGACCUAGUGCGCAUAGGUGGAGCGGACAUAAUGUUUGAUGGAGUUGUUAGAGGUGCCAGCCAAGGUAGGACCACCACUGAUGGUGGAGAUCAUGUUGAUCUGCCGUUGGUGAGGGUUAGGUUGGGGUGGUAGGUUGUGCACAUAGUUGUCCAGCUUUCCUUCACGGAUGAGCCCUUCAAUGAUGUUGCGCAAGGAAACACAAGAUUCGGUGUCAUGGCCACUGAACUGAUGAAAGUGGCAGAAAACGCCUGUGUUUGGCAUAGGCUUGCCGGAUUGUCUCCAGGGGGGUGGCUUGGGGAUGAUAAGGGCUUCACGCACCAGGACGUUCUCAUAGGUGGUGUUGAGGGUGGUAAAGACCUCGAACCUGGGCCUCGGUGUGAAGGGAAGUGGGGCCUGAUCACUUGUCUUGGGAGAGUUGCUUCCACUAGAUUGGUGGCGGUUGUCGUGGUUGCCGUGUCUGCCACAUUUGUUAUUGCUGAAGGGAUGCUGGUAGCUAUCCUUCCUUUUUGGGUGUGGGGUACCCUAGGUACUUAGGGCGGGGGUAGAAUGCUGAGGUUGGGCUAGGGCAGGUACUGAAGCAGGUGGAGGAUUAGCAAAAGUGUUACGCGUCAGGUUGGCUGGGCCACGCUUGGAAUUGAAGUAUUCAGCCUUGGCGUGAACCGCUGCCUGCUUCAUUAGCUUUGCAUAUGUGUUCCAACUGUUGUUAUGAACCAGGUAGCGGAAGUUGGACUCCCGGAGGCCACUCUUAAAAGCCCCGAAGGUAGCGCGAUCAUCAGUCUCUGGGCAGCGGGAGUAUUUGUGACUGAAUCGGGCUGCAUACUCCUGAAGGGGUUCGUCCUCACUCUGCCGAAGCAUAUACAAGUCUUUGGCACAGUAUAGGCGAUCAGUCUGGAUCAUAAAAUGGUCCAGGAAGGUCUGCUUGAGACUAUCAAAUGAGUUGAUGGUGCGGGGGUGGAGUCUAUAGAACCAGUUUAGGGCUGCGCCGCUGAGGAUGAAAGGAAAGAGGAGCCACAUGCCUUUGUCAGUGAGGCCCUUACACCCAAGGGCAGAGUGGAAUGAGUGGUUAUGAGUGAAGGGGUCCUCCGUGCCAGUGUAGAAGGCGAUACGGAGCGGCUGGAUAUCCUUCUCCUGGUGGUAGUUGAGGAUACGUUCAGUAAAGGGCCCAGGUCGUGGCUUUUCCCAGAUGGGUUGAUGGCUUUGAUAUUGUUCACUCUCUAGACGUCGGACCUUCUCAAAGAGAAACCUCAUGGCCGGGUAGGUAUGAGGGAGAGUCUCGGGUGCUAAAGGCCUGCGGGGUGGGCAGACAGAGGCUGGGGAAUGUUCCCAUUCUUCCAACGCCUUGGUGUGGUAAGGUGGCCAGGCUUCUGAAUUAUAAAAUUCCCAGCUAUCCGAGUCCCCUACGCUUUCCUCGUCGGGUAAGUAGGUGGGCCCUGGUGGGGGGUCCAGGUGUGUCACCCGUGGGUCUUCAAAGUUGACAGGAAUAGGGAUCGGCUCUAGUUGAUGGUCCAAGAUGCGGUCCCUGCAAUCUCUGUAGAUCCUGACUGGUUCAUGAGGCCGAUCCUUCGGCGGGGGAAUGCAAAAGAGUCGCGACUAGGUUAGCUUCGGAUGAAGGUGGCCUUUACCUUUGCGGAGCCUAGAUUAGGCCGGGGCACUGUGGCUGGAAUGUACUGGCUGGUUUGGCUGGGUAUGCCCAACGUUCUGGGUAAGUUCUUGUUGGGCAUCCUGAGUGUGAGUCCUCUCCCGGUUUCACUUUAGAACACAAUAGUCAUGCUCUAGCUCAGCAUUCCUGAAAUGAAGAUGCUCGUAUUUCUCUGACAUUUUAGUAAUGCUGUCACGGAGGCGCUCCACUUCUGCCUAGAGAUUAGCAUCUCCCGAAGGUUUCCUUCGGGAAGUACCAUCACGGGGGGUAUGGUGCUGGGUAUCGUGGCUAUCCUUGGUCGGCAUAGCAGAAUGUGGGGUGAAGAAGAAGCGACGGGGCCUGAUAGGUGAAAGAGCCUGCUGGGCUAGUAGAGAAAGAGGGGAUUUAAGUGUCUAGUUCCCACAGACGGCGCCAAACUGUUGAUGCUCAAAAUGACCCGGCCAGUGUUGAGUCCAACUUAGUGAUGAGGUGUUGGAGUCUUCAGCAGAGAAGAAGGCUAAGGCCUUUGAUAAGGGGGGAACCUGUAGAAGACAAAAUGGGAGAAGUAAUCAUUAAGCUUCGGACACCGGUGUGGUGCCGGUCGAAGGCUCUUCGAUGCUUAAGUCAGCUAUAAGUGGUAACUUUGGCAGAGUAACAGUAAAUGUGAGAAAGUAGAUACUUUUUUACUUAGGUACUGUUCCCUAUUUAUAGGGGGUGAAAGUGAGAGGUUUGCACAAAGUUUCAAUGUGGGACUUUGUGCAAGUCGCCGUGGUGGCGACACAUGUCCUGGGGAUUAGGUUUGGCAAUUGGGAGCUUCGGCAUGUGUCUGGCACCUCGGAAGUCUGUCUUCCUUUGGCAAGGAAGAAGGCGUGGCUGUCUUGGUGCUAGUCGCUUUUGAGGCUGAGUAUGCUCGAUUGAUUAUGGUGUAAACAACGACCAAUAAACAUGUGUAGCGGCACCAAGCUAACUCCGCUAGUUAGCUUCAGAGGAAGGUCUCAAUGCACCCUCGUCUCCACCAACAAGCUUUAUCCCCUAACAAUUGUCUUUUCCAUGAACACUUGUCAACACUUCCCGUUUCCAGCAACAACCCAUCGAGAUCUUCAUGGUACUACCAUCCAGACGUGUUUUGCGAGUACUCUGCACAGGUAUGUACGUUUGAUUUAUAGUUUGGAAAGUGGGAACUGAAAUGGGUUUUGAACUCUUUUACAUUGAAAACUACGAUCGGUAUUAUUUUUGUGUCAUAAUGUAACUGGUUGAAUUUGUCGAAUUUGAAGUUGUAAAUGAAUCUAAAUUUAAUCGUUGGUAUUACUUUAAAUAAUCGUAUAUUAUUUGAAUCGUGAUUAUUAAUCUAAGAAAUACGUGUGGCUUGAUCUCACACCAAGGGGUACGUAGGUAGCCUGGGGUCACCUAGGUGCAGCCGUAACUUAAAUUAUUACUUUUGUUGAGGUUGGUUUUGAAUAAUUCCCUUACGAUUUUCUGUUUUGCUCCCCUAGGCAGUAGCUUGAUCUGAGUCGAGCAAUCGAGCCAAGAACUGUACUUUCGUGCCCUAAACUUCUGUAGCGCAUUUCUAUUUGUUUAAUUUCCGUUAAACUUCAUUUCGAUUGUAAAUUGCUCUGUUAUAGCCCAUACAGGGUUGGAUUUAAGGCCGGAGGCGUAUUAUGUAAAUUUUAUGCUUUUACAUUGUGCGUGCUGCCAGUUGGACUAUGUUUACUAUGUUUCAAUAGGUUGAAAUUGUGAGAAAAAUCCGUUUUUCAAGGGAGACUUAGCCGAAAUUUCGGUACAAAGUCUCAAGCCUCUUUUCCUUUGUUUUCAAAGAAGAGGAUGUUGUUAGUAAGUGGGCCCAGCAUCGGUUGGAUGUUGGAAAAAUCACAAGGUUCAUUACUAAUUUCGAGGAAUUCGAGGAGGGUCCUGUCAAUUGCCGCUGCCUAUAUUGCUCUCCUCUCUUCAUAUUUUCUCCCCACGACUCCGGUCACCCGAUUCACACCAUACAUACAUCUCCGUACCUUUUUUAGCUAUUGUUUCUCCAAAAUUCAAUCGAACUAACUUAGGCAACGGAGGGCCUUUGGCCAACACCCCCCAGGUAUUGUCUAUUUACUCCGGUCUUUUUUAGAGGAAUCAAGGAGGAGAGAGAAAGAAGUUCAAAGGGGAAAGAAUCUAGAAGCGAAUAUUCUCCCAAGAGAUUAUUUGCACAAACAAUUAGCAUAGAGCUUCCUAUGGACUUCAAGUAACCAAUGAUUUGACUUUAUGAUUGAGCUUAUGACCCAGUUGAUUUUCUAAAUGAUUUUUGAUACUAAAUGAAUGUAAAGGAUGCUAAAGACCCCACGAAGUGUCGAGCUUUCCCUUUUUCUCUUGGAAGGAUCCACUAAGGAUGGUUCAAAUCCUUGAAACUUGAUUCCAUUAGCUUAUUUGAUCCAACUUAACCAAAGUUUCAUCAACCAGUUUCUUUCUGCAUCAAAUAAGAGGCACCCAACCAAGUAUCUCUUGAGAAUUAAGUAAGACCGUAAUGAAAUGUUAUGAGAGUACAUCAGCCGUUUCAACCAAGAAGUAAUCAGUUUCCCAAGCUGCUUCAAGGACACAUCCUAUACAAGUCUUCUGGCUGGAUUUCGGAAAGGACCUUUCCUAUUCCAUGUCAAAACAAUAAACACCUAAGAGUUAUGAAGACUUUGUGUCUGAGGCGUAUUGUCAUGUCAUUGUUGAUGGUGCAAGAAGAAAGCAUGAAAAAUUAUAAAGGAAAAACAAGCACUAACCCUAAAAUUAAUGAAUUGUAAUCCACUAGAAAAGAUAGAAAAUCUUAAUAGUAUUAUUAGCAAUAUAAAUUAACUUAAGAAUAAAAACUUCAUAAAGCUGUUUUAAGGAAAAAAAAAAUUUCUAAAAUCAUAAGAAAUCCUAGAUUUUGAAAUAUUCAUAAAACUUAUCUAAUAAGAAAAUAAUAAAAUCCUAAUAAGAAAAUGAUGUUAGGUGAAACAAAUCCUAACUUAUUCUAUACAUAUAAAAUAAUAAAGUAAAUUAAAUAUAAUUCUUCCCAAAAAAUUAUUUUUGCUUCAAAGCUAAUCAAGCAACCUAAAAAUCUCAACGCCUUCUUUCUAUACACCAUAUGUAAUACCUCGACCCAAUUUAAUUGUCUUUAUCUAAUUUUUAUUCAAGAAUUUACAAUUUUGCCCUUGGGGGUAGGUCAAUUUAGUCACUUUUUAAUCUGGAAGGUUUUUGGGGAAAUGAGUGGCACCAUUGGGUAGAGCUCUCUCUCACGAGUUCAUAGACACGUAGUGGGCUCAAAUCGGAGUUUUAACGAAGAAGUUGUGAUAUACGGAAGUGCAGUGGCAGAACCGUAAAUUUUGCAAAGUCAUAUAUAUUUUUUUUUAAAUCUGGGCAAUUUUGCAAAGUAAUUUUUUUUUUUUCAAAAAAAAAAAAAUUGGGUAGCUUCUCUCUCUCUCUCUCUCUCACACACACAUUUCUCUCCUAUCAUUCGUGAUGCACUUUCUCUCCUCUCUCUCUCUCUUCUGCUGCGAUGCCGCCACUUUAGUGGGCGAAUUCGUUGUAGUUCGGUGACCAAAUUCCCCAAAACUACUUCCAAAAUUCUCACAUCUCUCUCCUCUACCCAACCCAUACCUUUUCCUAGCUCAAAAACCUGACGUUUAGCGACUGUAACAAUUUGAAUUUUUUGUAGAUUUAUUUCGGCGGCUGUUUCCGUCAACCAAGGUACUUUUACUUCGCAUAUUCCAGAGGAAGAGCCCUCUCAGGAUUGAGUAGCGUGGACUUGUUGUGAGUGGACAUUGUUUUAAAUGAGCAUUAUUUUUCCAAUAUGGAAUUGCAUGCAUAAAUGAGAUUUGAUUUAGAACUUGGCUUAUUUGGUUUACAGGGAUUUUAUAUGUUUUGACUAUGAUUUUAUCAGAAUGUGGCAUAGGUUUUUCAAGAAUUAUUAUUGUUAUUAUGGUCAUUAUUAAAGUAUAUGGAUUGUCUUGCAUAUUUAUAUAAUUUGGAUUAUUUUGAUUAUUGAGUUUAUGAAGUUAUAAUAUUGUUUAUUUUGUGGAUUAUAGUGCUUUAUGGAAUUAUUGGAGUUUAUUUUGACAUUUGGAAUUUGUGAAUAUUUUGGGUUAUGAAAUUUAUGCUUUUGAGAGUUUGAUAUCUAUAUUACGUAUAAAUAUUGGGUAUUGAGUUAUUGACGCUAUUAUUAUCCGGAAGUCUAUGUAUAUGGGCUUGGGUACAUUGGGAUUAUUUGGGAAUUGGUUAUGGUUAGACUUAUGGUACAUGAGUUGGGAUGUAGGAUAUGUUAUAUUGGAGUGUUGAUAGCACCACCCUAUGUACCUCCCUGGCACUUAACUACUUGGAUAUGGAUACUUGGAUAUGUCGGAACCCGGACACCAUUUACGAGGUGUUUCGCAGGCCCUUGGCCAGGUAGUCUACGCCCGUAGGACUUAGUUCAGCUGCACGAGUAUUCAGGAUUUUGCUAUGUGUGUUUGGGAGCCCAGUCCCCCAAUUGGACAGCUCGUCCCUAGCCACAUGGUUAUUGAGGAUUCUUCCAUGUGGUUUAGUCAAACAAUCCCCCGGUUGGAUUGUUUCCCUGAUUCAAGUUUGAUAGUGGUCAUACCUAUAUGUAUACUUAUAUAUAUAUAUAUAUCAGAAGGGUGUAGAACUAGUGAUGACAUACUCAUAAUAAAUGGGAAUGAAAUAAAUAAUAAGAAAAAAACAGUGCAUAAAAUUAAUGAAACUUAAAUGAAAAUAAGAAAAUUGCAAACUUACAGAAAAUCUUGACUGAAAGAUUUUAUUGAUAGAAAGUAGCGCUCACAUUUUACAGAUAAAGUUUUCCUUGAAGGUGAUUCAGAGAAAACUUUGAAACUUUGAAACUAAAAAUUACAUUCUGAGUACAACUGAGGCCAGAGCCUCUAUAUAAAGAGCCAAAAAAGUGUCGGCAACAUUGGAUGCUUGGAAUUUUUACUGUUGGAGCAUGGGUCUUCUGCUUUUGCUUUAACUAGAGCUUUAGGACUUGACUGUCUGGGUAAUCUGCCAUCUGAACUUUUGUGUGGAAUCUUUUUUACUUGAUGGAUUUUGAGUAUGACUGGAGGAUGAGGCUUGAGUGGAGUGAGACUUUGGGGAAGCAUCAUCAUCAUCAUCAUUCAUUUGUGAGGCUUGGAUCAUUAAUUGUCUGGCUAAUUCCUUUAAUUUUGAUUUGGAUCUUCUUUCGAUUGGAAAGGAAGAGUGAGAUGUACCAGACGCGGAAGGCUUCUGGGGAGCUUUGACUGGGGGAAACUCAUUUUUGACUUGUUCAAUAAUUCUUUCCGUCUUGAAUUUAUCCCACCAUUUGAUGGAGAAUUUUCUGGAGAGAAUACGUGAUUCCCAGUGACUUGAUAGGACCAUUGUAGAAUCCAGGGAACUUUGUAUUUGGCAAUGAAAAUUAAAGACUUUGGAAAAAAUUGACUUUCUUGCAUAAAUUUAUACUUACUAGAAAAGUACUUGACUGAUUCUUUGGGAUUUAGGGGAAGAAUAUCAAUAGUUGGACCAUGUCGCUUUUGAAUUUACUAUUGAAAUUUACAAAUCAUGAAUGACUAAAAUCUUUGGUUUGAUGGAGGAAAAUGAUGUGCCAAGCUUCAAUGUAAUCAUGGUAAUUAUAUUGGAGACUGGAAUUAAGUGUCUUGAAAGAGUAGGGGUGAUCGCCCCUUUCAGAUUGACUGAGAAUGUUUUUGAUAUGCAUGGAAUGAUAGAGAAUGAUAUUUGGAUAAUUUCUAUCUUUGAUUGGCCUGAUUUCUAAAGUCUGGGUUUCAAGAAGAAUAUCACGGUAGUAUUUGAAUGACUUAAAAGGAUGUGGAGGUAUGUAAUGGAAAUUGGGAGGGAAAUAGGCUUUGGCUAUUUGACUGGAUUGGUCAAAUGGUUAAAGCAUGGUUCAAUAAAGAAGAGGGUAUGACUGCUUUUGGGGAAAUAAGGAGAAGAUUUGGUAUGACUAAUUGGGGAGGAAGCAGGAGAGAGGGUUAAGACUUGGAAUGGAUCAUAACUAGAGAUGAGAGCUGACUGGUAAUUAGGUCGUAUGUUACUGACUGUGGAUCCUAAAGUGGCAUACCUAUUUGAUACUUGAAUGGGAGAAAAUCUUGGGUAAGGGAUGACUUGGGAAGGUUGCUCUGUUUUUACUGGAGUCAUUGAUGCUGGGAGUUGUCUGACUAGUUGCUUGCCUUGCUGUUUUGUUUGUUUUUCUACCAUUACUUAUCUUGAAGAAAUUCUCUAGUAAGGAAAUAUGGGAUAGAAUUCUCACUUCCUCUCAAAUAUUCAAUAUCAAAAUCAAAAAUACUUAAAAGAGCUUGCCAACGUGCAAAAAUCUGUUUUGAUGCAAUAUUUUGAACGUCUUUUUUCUAAAACAUGUUUUGCACUUUUACAAUUGACUCUGACUAAAAUUUUUUGAUUUAAUAAAUCAUCUUGAAAUUUUGGGAUGCAUAAUACUAUAGAUAGAAUUUCUUUUUUAAUAGUACUGUACUUAUACUGUGACUAUAUCCAAAUUCUAGAAUGGAAUCGAAUGAUUUGCUCUGUUUGGUGGGGAUUGACUCUUUGUUUUAGGAUUCCUCCAUAACCGUUGUCUGAGGCAUCAGUUUCAAAAAUUUUGAAGGAAUUGACUAAAGGAAUACCAAGACAGGGUAGUGUUUUGACAUGGACUUUGAUCUAUUUGACAAUUUCUGUAUGAAUAGAGAUCCAAGGAGGAGGAUUACUUUGGAGUCUGUCAAAUAGGGGUUUACAUUGCUUUCGCAGAUUUUGAUAGAAAUCAUAGACAUAAUUAAGAGAUCUCAUAAACCAUUGGAGUUGACUUUUGUCAAGAAUUUGAUCUAAAAAUUUAUCAGCAAACUGGAUGACUCGAUUAAUUGGACUGAUUUGUGACUGACAAAUAUUAAAACCAAGAAAUCUAAUGUUGGUUUGGAAUAGCUUGAUCUUUUUAGCUGAGACAACUAAACCAUUUUUCUUGACUAUGUGAAGGAAUUUAUACAGAUUUUUCCAAUGUUGCUCUAAUGACUGGGAAAAAAUAAGGACAUUAUCAAUAUAAACUAUGGAGAAAUCACUGAAAUGGUUGAAUAUUUCAUUCAUUAUAUUCUGGAAUUCAUUGGGCGCAUUUUUUAGACCAAAAGGCAUGACAUUCCACUCAUAAUGACUGAAUGAGGUUACAAAAGCGGUUUUAUAUUUAUCUGACUCUUGGAUUUGAAUUUGCCAAAAUCCACUCUUCAUAUAAAACUUAAAGAAAAUGACUACUUUGUCUAAUCUAUUGAUUAAAUCUCUCUUAUUGGGGAUUGGAUAUUUAAUCCAUUCUAAUAUUGUCUUAAGGGGUUUAUAAUUUUUGAUAGAACUUCGCCGGCCUUGUUCUCUCUCCCCGACCACCAAACCAGACGUGUGAGGUAUGGUUUCACACCUAUUUUUCGUGCUCUAGCUGAUGGUUGGGAAGGAUUUGAUCGAUUUCUAGCCUAGGUGGUUCGAUUUGUAACUCAAAGUUUGGCUAGAUUUCAGGUUGAAAUUCUGGCCACUUCCAGCCAUUUUUCGGGGUAGGUCCAAGAACAAAAGUGGCUCCAAUUGAUGUCCUGAACCUAGGGUAGGAAGCUUGGCUUUUAAUUUUGAGAAUUUUCCGGUGAUCAUUAUCGCUUUGGGCACAGUAGAAAAGGGGCAUUGUGUCCCGAUGCGACCUUUAGUUGUCACGAGUACGUAGGUAUGUUCGGAUUCCAAUUUGGAUACCGUUUGAGCUUCAAACGAAUUUCGCAUAUUGUGCGAUUUUUGGGUUCGAUAGGUUUGGAUCGAACUCAAAUUCAUAUAUGUUGUACCUCCGUAUAGGAUUCGACAGAUCGUGAAUCAAAGUCCCGGAUACCUCAAAAUCGCGAAACCUAGGGCAAGAUAAAUUGUAGUUGUCCGAUCGUGUGAUCGUGAUCAAUCCGACAGUUUGAUUUGGACCAAACUUGUAGGGUAGGUUCAGAAGAAUGCGUUGAACCUACAGAGACUCCUGGAAUUGUGAUCGGAGGUCGUGGGCCUCGCUGGCCAAGUUUAGGCGGUUUGCCCUUUCGGUUGACCGUGAGUCUUCCAACGCAGUUAUAUCCUUUGAGAAGUGUUAAAAUGACCAUGUAAACGAGUCCUGACCGAGACUGAGUUAUCUGGGUCAUGUUACGAAUUGAGUAUAGAUAGUUAUAUAUAGAUUGCUAAUGUACCCAGUAGUUGGAAAUGAUGAAUUAUGGCCCUUGGUAUUUAUUAGAAAGAUGAUAUAAAGGUUGGGAAAUGGAUUGUAAAAUAAAAGGAAAGUAUUGAUAUAAGUUUGGGAUAUGGUUUUUCAAACCCACCACAAGGGUACCCCCUAAUUUCUUUGAAACAAUGUCAUUUAUAAAUAAUGCCCCAAGUGUUUUGGGAACUCUUGAAUCGUGCCGAGCAAGCAAUGCAGCUUAGGCUGACCAAAGGUCCCCUGAGGCCUGCGAGAAUUGCGGCUCGGAUAGAAAUGGUAUCUUUGAGGCCUGCGAGGAUUGCGACUCGGAUAGAAAUGGUAUCUCCGAGGCCUGCGAGGAUUAUGGCUAGAGUAAACUUGGUGUCUCCAAGGCCUAUGAGGAUGGAAUUGGCGGUAUUAAUGGAAUUGACGGAUCAGGAAUGAGGGUACGCCUGGAUGGAAAGAAUUUCAAUUUUGAGAUGCUCUUAAACUAAAAUAGAGGGAGUUUAGUGUAUGGCUUAUCUAUAAUCAGUAUAUGAUUGUUACGAGUAUUGGGAAGUUCCAAAGUAUUGUUUUAGAGUUGUGAAUAUGAUUGAGUACUUCACGCACAUGAGAAUUCAGUUUGAUUUACAAAACACAUGGCAAUAUGAUGAAUGAAUAAGAUAUUCAAGUACAUUAUUAAAGGGAAAGAACUAGGUGUGGCUUGAUCCCUCAGUAAGGGUAUGUAGGCAGACUAAUGUUACAAGGUGCAGCCAUGAGUUGGAGUGUUUGGGAUUGCUAGUGUACUAUUGAUGUUCUGAAAGUUGAGAUGAAUUUUAUUAGCAUAAUGAUUUAUUUGAUUUGUUGAGGCCUAAGGCCAGAAUGAUAUGAUGCUUGAUUGCUUGGAUAUAAUUUAAUGCAUGUUGAACGAUUGGGAUAUAUAAAUGUUUGUUGAUAGGUGGAAACUUUUGGGAAACGAGCAAGUUAUAGGGGAGACUCUGCCGAAUUUUCGGUAGAAGUCAAAUUUGAAGAAAAUUUGGUUUUUAGUUAGAAUGGCAUUUGGGUCAUUUGUGCCCGGCAUCCGUCGGGUGUCGGACACGCUCAGGACAGGAACAAGGUGACUUGCUUUUACGGAUUAUUCCUUUGUGAAGUAGCUCUGCAAUUUCCUUUUUGCAAAAUUCCAUGACUUCUUGACUCAUUUGGAUUGGUCUUGCUUUAGUAGGAAAGUUUUUUUCCACAUGUUGUUUUCUAUGCCAAAAGGCAUUAGGUAGGUCGGAAAAAAUUUCUUGUUUUAGUUUAUCUUCAAAAUUUGAAUUUGUGACUGCAAGGACUUAUCAGUAAGCUGCUGUUCAAUUCUUCUGAAUUUAACUUCUUCUUUAAGAAAAUCUAAUUGUUUACUUUUAUUCUGGAUUAUCUUGACUGUUUUUGAAAUUACAUUUUCUAUAAAGCUUUUAAAUUAUGUAAUUCUGGUUUGGUUAAAAAUUCAAAAUUGACUUUUUCUCCCAUGUGGGUAGAUGUGACUCCAUUGUAUUCAACUUGAAAAGGGUAUAAGAGGGCUAUGAAAGGUAGAUAGAGGAUGACUUCAUCUGUGAUAUUUUUUACUAAAACCAAAGAAGUUUUAAAACAUAUCUUAUUUUGACAGACAUAGGCUUUUGGGAUUUCAUAAUCCAACUGAAAUGGUUUACUUGAGGUAGUGCCUAAUGUUUCUUGGCCUUUUGGAAUAUUUGGUGGGGAUUAAACCUUCUCGUAUACAAUUAAGGUCGGCUCCUGAAUAAAGAAGAGCUACUGUGUUUAACUCGAAUUUUUUAAUAUAAAAAUUGUUACUUUAGAGUAUCAUUUUCUAAAAUUUAUUUGUUUUAUUAAAUUAAUGGCUUUAUCAUUGUUUGAAGGUUCAUCAUAUGAAUUAAUGGCUUUAUCAUUGUUUGAAGGUUCAUCAUAUGAAUUUGUUGGACUUUCAGAUUGACUCUUAGUAUUAGAAUUCCUUUUUUCCAUUAAAUUAAUCAAAUCGUGUUUAAUUUCGAAAUUUUCAUUUUGUAACUCGUGACUCAUUUGUUUUAACUCUAUUAUCUCUUUUUUGACCAUUUUUACUUCCAGCUGUAAAUCCUGUAAAGUUACUUCUUUUCUUUUCUUGAAUUUUUCCAAGGUAGUAUUUAGACUUAUUUUUGGGGAAAUGUGUUGACUCGUCUCUUCUUGACCAAUGACUUUUCUUAAUUUCUUUAAAUAUUCAGAUUUUAAUUCUGAAUUUUCUACUUUACUGAUUAAAUCAAUUAAUAAUUCUUCUUGCUCUCCUUGUUUUGUGAGGACUUGUAUUGACUUAGUGAGGACAUUACAACACUUAUCUUUACAACCAAAUUAGACUUUUGGGGAACUUAAUUGGGAAUUUGAGGAACUAUAAUCUACUGAGCUCGUUAUUGUGGUUUCAACUUCACUAGACUCAGAGUUUCUUAAUUCUAAUACCUUAAUUAAUUGGGCUUUUUCUUAAUCGGUGAUUUUUAAUUGCUUUAUUGUGUCUUUUACUUUACAUUCAUUAGCAUAAUGACCAUGUUUUUUACACUUCCAGCAUUCCACUUUCUUUUUAUCUGUAUUUUUCUUAAAGUUACUUUUCUUGUCUUUUCUGGGGGGGUUUUUGACCAGUUUUUUCAUGGGUUAAAUUUUCUUUUACCAUAAAAUUCAUCAUUAUGUCUAAAGGAUUGUUUCCUACGUGAGUAAUGACUAUGUUUACUAGUUUGUCGGUCAUUGUACCUAGUCUUGACCUUUCUAGAUGGGGGAAUAGAUGCUAGGCCAUAUUGUUCACAAAAGUCUCCUAGUUCAUAUUUGGCUGAAUUUCUUUAUGACUGAAUUUGUUUACCUAUUUUCAUGUCAACACACUUUUUCAUUCCUACUUGGUUAAUUGUAUUAAUAAUAUUUCCAUAAGUUAAAUUAUCGAAAUCUAUGUGACCCUAAUCAUAACUUAGGACUGUUCAUAUUUAGUGAGCAAACAAAUUAGGAAGGCCGUUACUAAAUUUUUUUUCCAAAACAGUUGGUUACUAUCAUCUCUUAACAUGACGUCGACUCUAGAAAUAAAGACAUCUUUAUACCAUCUAAAAUCACUUAAUUUGGGACAUGUGAGAUUACUAAGUUGAUCGUGAAUUUUGACUGUAGUGUGGUGUUCCUAUGAAAUGUUCAAUUAUGGUAUAUAAUAAAGUAUUGACUCCGUCUUCUAUGCAUGUUCCUAAGCGUGCAUCAAAAAUAGGGAGAUCUUCUUCAUUCAGUUUGAUUGCAUAUGUGAUUUGUCAUUUUCACUCUUUAGUUAAAUGUUUAUCCCACCAAGAGUGUAAGGUUCCAGUGAAUCCUGUUUCUAAAAAGGGAACAAUUUCUGACUGUCUUAAAUUGUGAUUGGUUAUAUAACUAUUAGCUACCAUAGACAUAUGUUGAAGUUUAUUUAGGAUUUCUUGUUCGGAAAGGCCAUCAAUAUUCUAUUCGUAUAGUUUAUCGGAUGAGAUUGAGAAUUGACUUUGAUAAUUUCUUUCUUCAAACUGAAUGUCUGGAGGGGUUGGUUUGGGAUGCCAAUUUUUUGUUAGACUAGUAGGAUUGACUUUGUUCCUUAAUCUAUUAAGCUUGAAAUCAUUAUCUAUUUCCAAACUAUUAAAGGCUUUCUCAAUUUUUGAUAUAUUACUAGAAUUUGUUUCAUUACUGGUUAUAGACUCGGUUUCAGAGGUAUUGACUAAAAUGGAGGACUCAAGGACUUUGAGACCAGAAACUUCAGGUUUUUCUUUAAUUGGGGUUAAUUGUUUAAGCAUUUCUUCAAUCUUUUCCAUUGUGGGACUCGACUUGAGAGUGGGGCUUGACUUUAGGUCUUGGAAUUUUACUAAAGGUUUUUCUUUUUGAGACUAAAGGGAUAUUUGUUGAGGGACUAUUUUGUCAAUUUUUGUUUCUAUUUUAUCUAAUUGUUUUCCAAUGACUAUUAGACUCUAGUUUGUAUAAUUAUUUUGCUCAAUUAUUUUCUUGUCAUUUUGUUCUGGAAUUUUGAAAGGACUUGCCUGGAGUUUAGUAUUUUUAUGGAUGGGUGAUAACUAUAGUUUCAGUAGGAGGAUGACUGGCUAGAACUUCGGUGUUAUCUUCUCUUUUCCAUUUUUCUUGGGUUAAAGUUUUUAUCUCUUUUGACAUGUAGUGACUUUCAACAUAAUCAAGAACAAAAAACUUAUGACUUGGUAUUUUUCAUAAAAUUUUUCCAUUCAUUAAAGAUUUGCUAGCAUUGGACUUUAUUUGGGUAGGCUGUGUGGUAGUUAUUUCUUUGUUCCAGAUUCUGAGGCAUUUAAAUGACUAUCUAAAAUUUUCCAAUGAAUUUUGAAUUCUUUGUUGAGGGUUCGUAACUGAUUGUCUGUGGGAAUGGCUUCGGCUUCAAAAUCAGUUUGUGUGGGGGAAUCUGAUUUUUUGUCUUCUUUCACUGGUUUCUUACCAUAAUAAGGAUGGUUGACUUGGGAAGUUUUUCUUAAAGAUUUUCUAACUUUAAAUCAAUCAACGUUUUUUCAAACUCUAGGUCUCUUUCUAGAGUAGAGGAGGAAGCUGCAAAGGAAUGUCAGGCAGGCAUAUAUCUCAAGGAUUGACUAGGUGUUGGGAGUGGUUGUAUUUGGACUAAGGACUUGUGAGGCUGGUUUCCAAAAUUUAUUUUUACUGUACCAUCUAAAUAUUGUUGGAUAUAAUCUAGAUUAUUCAAAUUAUGUUGAAUAGGAGCGGGUUGAUUUUCUAUUAUUAAUGUCAAAUCUAGGGGUAAGGCUACUUCUAACCACUUAAUUGUAUAGGGAACUCUUAUAUUAGUAUCAGCUUUACUACUUUGAAUAAGCAAGGUUUAGUCUUUUGGGCUUUUAUUAAGAGUUUGGAAAUUCAUAUUAGUUCUUGUGACUUUAUAAUAAAUUCUAUAGAGUUCUCCAUACAAUUAAGGAAUUAGUUCCUCUGGUACAUCUCACUCUUCCCUCCCAAUCGAAGGAAGAUCCAAAUCAGAAUUAAAGGAAUUAGCCAGGCAAUUAAUGAUCCAAGCCUGACAAAUGAAUGAUGAUAAUGAUGAUGAUGCUUCCCCAAAGUCUCACUCCACUUAAGCCUCAUCCUCUAGUCAGACUCAAAAUCCAUCAAGUCACAAAGAUUCAACACAAAAGUUCAGAUGGGCAGAUUACCCAGACAGUCAAGAUACUUAUGAUCUCAAUGAAGACUAGUAAAAGCAGGAAAGCAUAUGUAAAAGAAAGCAAAAGCAAAACUUAGCAUGAUUCCAAGCCCCGUGCCUCCACAGUUAUAUUCCCUGAAAAAGAAGAAAGGAAAAGGUGAAGUCAAGUCCUAAAGCUCCAGUUAAAGCAAAAGCAGAAGACCUGUGCUCCAACAGUAAAAAUUCCAAGCAUCCAAUGUUGCCAGCACUUUUUUGGCUCUUUAUAUAGAGGCUCUGUCCUCAGUUGUAGUCAGAAUGUAAUUUUUAGUUUUCUCAGUUUCAAAGUUUUCUCCGAAUCACUUUCAAAGAAAACUCUAUUUGUAAAAUAUGAGUGCUACUAUCAUUCAAUAAAAUCUUUCAGUCAAGAUUUUCUAUAAGUAUUUUCAUUUACACAUUACUUUUAAUUUUGCAUUUAUUUUAAAUUAUUUCAUUAUGCAUUAUUAUUCUCUCUGCCUCUAGAUCCCUUUUGGUAUCAGAGCCGUAAGUGUUGAAGAGUCAUUCUAAUUCUGCUUCUCUGUUUAAAGCUUUGCUAUUCAAUUAUGUAACCCUUUCAGUGUCUUCCUGUAUACUGUUCAUUUUAUCUCAACCCAAACAAUGAGUCCUAGAUUCCAAACAAUAAGUCCCAGGGAGAGGCAUGAGCGGAUGCGACAUGAACAGAGAGAGAGAAAACCCUUCAAUCUUCAGGAAUCCUUGAACCUGUUAUAGGAUUAUUAGCUUCCCUUUUUACCCUUUGUAAGAAAACAAAUAAUCUUUGUCCAGAUGAGUCACCUUUUUAGAACAAACUCUUGUAACAGUAGCAAUUUUAGAGCCAGUAUUAGUAAACUCCCAGAAAUAGUCAAUGAAGAACAAAUAGAAUACGAAACUAGUAAUGAAAUUGAUUAUAAAGAUUGGAACAUCCCUAAGAUCCCUAGUACAGAAAUUUACAAGAAGAAAUGGUCACUUUCAAGUUUCAAAAGUACAACCCAUGUAAAAACUAUUGAAAUAAAAAGUCAACGUGAAUAUUUCUUUCCUAGUAUAAAAGAUUGACAGCUACAAUUUAGCAUUCCUAUUCUGGUUAACCACUGAUUCGUAGGAUCUAGAUACAAGGAGAAUUGUAGGUUCAUCUCCUAUAUAUGUUGCUAUACAUUUAGAAUUGUAUAUUGUACAAAUAUAUGAAAUACCAGUUUCUUUACAUGGUACCAGAGCCUCCCUUUUUUCCUUCACCAUAAACAUCAAUGGCACCAGACAACGAUGCCAAACCAGUUGACAGAGAGAAGUCCUCAUCCACAACCGAUAGAGAUGCAUAUGACUCUACCGAUCCCUACUGCAUACACCACUCAGAUCAUCCCAGCAUGGUAUUGGCUUCCAUGCCACUGACCGGUGAUAACUACAACACUUGGAGUUGUAAAGUACGAAUUUCCUUGAGUGCGAAAAACAAAACAGGCUUUAUUGAUGGUCCAUUGUGAAGCCAUCCCUCACCAAAAAACCUAUAGAGUAUCAACGAUGGCAGAGGUGUAACGACAUGAUCUUGUCGUGGAUUCUCAAUUCUUUGGAUCCUGACCUUGCUAAUAGUGUUAUUUAUGCUGAGACAGCUCAUGAAGUCUGGACUGAUUUAAAAGAACGAUUUUCACAGAGCAACGCUCCUAGGAUUUUUCAGAUUCAACGCAGCAUAGCGACACAUACGCAAGAUCAGAUGCCUCUGGCAACAUAUUAUUCAAAACUAAAGAGCUAUUGGGACGAACUCGGUUCCUACAAUGAUACAAAAGUUUGCUCCUGUGGAGCAAAGAAGUCGUUGGCCGAGCGCGAGGAACAACAACGCUUGAUGCAAUUUUUGAUGGGACUAAAUGAAUCCUAUGCAGCGAUCCGAGGGCAGAUUCUCCUUAUGGAUCCCUUGCCAUCAGUUCGAAGGGCAUAUUCCCUACUUUCACAGGAAGAGAAACAACAUGAAAUCACCACAACCCAUGCAAAUACAGAAAGCAUGGCCAUGUUAAGUAUCCACAAUAAGAAAUGGGGUUCUUCUAAACCCGCUUAUCAAUUCCGCUCACAACAAGGAUAUAAUUCACAACAAGGAAAGAACUCACAACUUCGUUCCUCUUUUUGAGGGAGCCAAAAAGAGACUCGACGUUGCACUCAUUGCAAUGGAGAUACUUACACCGUUGAUACUUGCUAUUAUCUCAAAGGGUUCCCUCCAGGACAUACGUGGCACAACAAAGAAGUCUCUCUGCCUGAUAAAGGAAGCAGUUCACACCAAGGAAACCAAAGGAAGUCACAUGCUGCCAAUAAUGUCCAAAACUCAGAUUCACAAGUUCAUAAUCUCCAGUCCAUCGCGCCCCACCUUACACUAGACCAAUGCCAACAAAUUAUGGGCGCCGUAGGUAAAGAAGAUGUUUCACAAACCCAAGUAAAUUUUGCAGGUCUGUCUUCUCCUUCUUGUUUAUUUUCUCAAAAGCAAUCCAAUUUAUCGCAUGCUUGGGUAAUUGAUAGUGGCACUACCGACCAUAUCACUAAUUCACAUGACUUUCUAACUGACACGUCUCCAUCCUCCAUGUCCCCAGUAGGAUUGCCCACAGGGGCUAAAGCACCCAUAAAAUCCACUGGCAAAAUCACUUUUGAUGUUAAUUUGUGUCUAACUGAUGUUCUUUGUGUUCCAUCCUUUAAUGUUAAUUUGAUGUCAGUUCCCAAACUCACAGAGUCACUUAAUUGUUGUGUUGUGUUCUUUCCCAAUUUUUGUUAUAUACAGGACUUGGUUAUGAAGAAGAUGAUUGGAUUGGGUAGGCGGCAUGGCAACCUAUACUAUUUUGAUUCAAACUAUAUUUCUCAGAACCCACCAUCCUCCUCACACCAUGUGUUAUCUCGACAAAAUCUUUGGCACCUGCGGUUAGGACAUCCAUUAGAUGCCCGCCUUCGUAUCUUGGCUCAACAUGAAUAUGAUAUUUUCUUUUCCCAGCACUCCUGUGAUUUUUUCCCAUUGGCUAAACAAACUAGACUCCCAUUUACUUUAAGUUCCAUUUCAAGUAUUGGUUCUUUUGAUUUAAUUCAUUGUGACAUCUGGGGUCCACAUAAAAUUCCUUCUCAUUCUGGGGCAAGAUAUUUUUUGACUAUUGUUGACGAUUAUACAAGGUGCACAUGGGUUCAUUUAAUGCAAUAUAAAUCUGAUACUCAAGGUCUUCUUAAAUCCUUCUUUGCCUUUGUUUCUACUCAAUUUAACAAAACAAUAAAAGGUAUUCGUGUCGAUAAUGGUGGUGAGUUUUCUUCUCUAAAAAUGUUUUUGGCAGAUCUUGGUGUCGUUUACCAACAUUCCUGCGUCUCAACACCUCAACAAAAUGGGGUUGUGGAACGUAAACACCGACACCUUCUAGAGAUGGCUCGAGCCUUGCGAUUCCAUGCACAUCUCCUUCUUAAUUUUUGGGGAGAAUGCGUACUCACUGCUGCAUAUCUGAUUAAUCGUCUCCCCACUCCACUUUUAACUGGUAAAACUCCCUAUGAGCUUUUAUUUAACCGUCCACCCAUUUGUUAACAUCUUCGCAUUUUUGGUUGUCUUUGUUAUGCAACUAAUUUACACCCUUCUCAUAAAUUUGAUAAACGGGCACGUAAAUGUAUUUUCGUGGGUUAUCCUUUUGGUCAAAAGGCUUAUCGUGUUUAUGACUUAGAGAUCAAAAAGUUUUUCAGUAGCCGAGAUGUUAUUUUUCAUGAAAAUGUCUUUCCUUUUGCUAAUCAACAUGAUGUACCUACUAUCCCUGUCUUGCCUUUAACCCCCAAUGAUUAUGAUUAUGAGCCUAUCCACAUAUCAGACCCACUACCCACUUCAUCUUCCCAGUUAAAUCCACCAACCAAACUAGAUAUGCAUCCACCUAGCCCAAACACACACUCUGGCACACCUACACUACCUCUUCCAAAUACACCACCACCUAGUCCACGCACAUAAUCUCGUCCAAAUACACACACCCAAUUUAGCCCCAACACGUAAUAUAAUAUAUCCCCUCAACCUAGUCCACCACUAAGUCCAUCACAUGAUACACACCCACCACCACCGCUUCGACAUUCUGAACGCCUAAAACAACCUUCAGUGCUUCUACGUGACUACCACUGUUACACUGCCAUGUCUCCCUAUUAUGAUUCGUCAUCUUCUUCAAAUACAAAAGGUAAGGGCACCCGAUACCUUAUUUCCCAAUUUCUUAAUUAUCAUAAUUUGUCAUCCACUCACAAAUCUUUUGUAGCUUCCAUCUCUCGAGUUGUUGAGCCAACUACUUUUGCCCAAGCUUCGACUGACCCUCUUUGGCAAGAAGCCAUGGACAACGAAAUUCAAGCUCUUGAGAAAUAAUACUUGGUCCAUAACACCUUUACCUGCAGGAAAACACCCAAUUGGCUACAAAUGGGUGUACAAAGUCAAAUAUAAUUCUAACGGUUCCGUCGAGCACUACAAAGCUCGUCUCGUGGCCAAGGGAUAUACCCAACAGGAAGGCUUGGACUACACGGAGACAUUCUCUCCCACAGCUAAAUUGGUGACUUUCUGAUGCUUGCUUGCUCUUGCCGCUGUACGCAAUUGGCCCCUCCACCAAUUAGACGUCCAAAAUGCUUUUCUUCAUGGAGAUUUAGACGAAGAAGUCUACAUGCUUCCUCCACCCGGCCUUCGCCGACAGGGGGAGCACUUGGUUUGUCGGCUACACAAAUCAUUAUACGGGUUGAAGCAAGCAUCAUGAAAUUGGUUUGCCAAGUUCACCAAUGCCCUUCAAGAUGCCGGAUUUGUCCAAUCCCUGGCAGAUUAUUCACUUUUCACAAGGUAUCACGAUAAUUCAUUUACCAUUAUAUUAAUUUAUGUAAAUGAUAUUGUCAUUACAGGGAAUGAUCCUAAGGCAAUUCAGUCUCUUAAGGAUUUCCUCCAUGCUCGCUUCCGCAUAAAAGACCUUGGAAAUCUUAAAUAUUUUUUGGGAAUUGAAGUAGCAAGAUCAAAUAAAAGAAUUUUCAUAUCUCAACGCAAGUACGCACUGGAUAUACUUGACGACGCUGGACUUUUGGGUGCUCGCCCUUAUUCCUUUCCCAUGGAGCAGACGCUUAGACUCAACCCUACUGAUGGCAAACCACUACAAGAUCCUACCAGAUACAGGCGAUUAGUAGGUCGCCUCAUUUAUCUCACAGUAACGAGGCUAGAUCUCUCAUUUGCUGUCCAUGUGCUUAGCCGUUUCAUGCAUGAGCCGCACCAACCUCAUCUAGAUGCAGCUCUUCGUGUACUACGUUAUUUGAAAGGCUCUCCAAGAGAAGGCAUUUUAUUUCCUACGACAAAUUACCUAAAGUUAAAGGCAUUUUGUGACUCAGAUUGGGCAAGUUGUCCAACUACUAGGAGAUCUGUCACAGGUUAUUGUACUUUCCUUGGUGAUUCUUUGAUUUCUUGAAAAACCAAAAAACUAAAUACUGUGGCACGUUCCUCUACAGAAGUAGAAUACCGAGCUAUGGCAGAUGCAUGUUGUGAGCUCACAUGGUUACGUUACAUCCUCAAAGACUUAGGCAUUCAACAUUUAGAACCAGCAGUAUUGCAUUGUGAUAAUCAAUCAGCCCUUUAUAUUGCAAAGAAUCCAGUAUUUCACGAGCGAACGAAGCAUAUUGAUCUUGAUUGUCACUUGGUGAGACAAAACAUUCAAUCAAGCUUGGUGUCUACUGCCUACACGCCAACAAAGAUGCAGAUUGCUGAUAUAUUUACUAAACCCUUGGGCAAGGUUCCUUUUGGUUCAUUAUUAGGCAAGUUGGGAGUAUACAACAUACACUCUCCAACUUGAAGGGGCGUAUUGAAAUAAGAAGUCAACGUGAAUAUUUCUUUCCUAGUAUAAAAGAUUGACAGCUACAAUUUAGCAUUCCUAUUCUGGUUAACCAUUGAUUCGUAGGAUCUAGAUACAAGGAGAAUUGUAGGUUCAUCUCCUAUAUAUGUUGCUAUGCCUUGAGUAAAGAACACGGAACAUGUCAACUUUUAAACCUUGAGUCAAUAAAGAAACAUAAGAGUGAUGGAAACAAUUUCCUUCACAUUGGCCUCGUUCAAGUAGCAGUCAAACCCGUUACAAGGUUAGGACUAAAUGCCUCUAUUUUACUUUGCCUACGUGAUGCUAGAUUUACCAACUUUAGUGAUAGUACCUUAGGAAUAAUUGAGUCAAGCUUGUUUAAUGGUCCAAUUCACUUUGAUUGUUACCCAGACUUCACGAUAAGCCUAAGUGAUCCCCACAUAUUAAAAAAUCUAACAUUAAACAUUAAAACUUUAGGGUAUAAAGUCUUGCCAGGUAGCCAACCUCUAGCUUUAGUCCAUAUAAUUUAUUAUAAAGUCACAGGAACUAAUAUGAAUUUCCAAGCUCUUAAUAAAAGCCCAAAAGACCAAACCUUGCUUAUUCAAAGUAGUAAAGCUGAUGCUAAUAUAAGAGUUCCCCAUACAAUUAAGUGGUCAGAAGUAACCUUACUCCUAGAUUGGACAUUAUCAACAUAAAAUCAACCUUGAUCAUUUCUUAUAUAUAUAUAUAUAUAUGCACUUUUAUUCUUAUUUACUGGUGAAGAUCCUUUAUCGCCGUGCAUGCGUUUUGGAAGAGAGUGGUCUAGGAAGGAAAAAAGGUCCUGAUUGAGUUUGUGUUAUAUGCUAUAUUGGGAUUAUGCGAUAUCUUAGUUUUAAAGUCGAUUUUGUUAUAUAAAUAUGUAUAUGGGUAUUUGUGUGAGUACAUUUGUGGACUUGUUUCCAGGUUGAGUUUUCUGAGCAUGUGCAUUGAGACUGCUCUACACAGGUAUGGAUUUUUGAAAUGAGGUUUGGAUUUCAGAUUGGCUAUUUGCAAACAAUUAUUUGACAUUUUAUGUUUGCAAGCAUAUGCCUAAGAAAGGGGAUGGUUGCAGAAGAAAAAGGAUAUUUUGGGUUUUGAUGUUUAUAUUUUACAUUAACAGAAUUAUUUUGGAAGUUUCAAUUAUAUGGUAUUACAAUAAAGACUAAAUGAUUAUGUUCGUGUUUUCCAAAAAAAGUGAGAAGUAUUAAUUAAAUGGAUUACUUUAUUGUAUAUUUUGUUAUAAGUAUACUAAAUUGGACUAUUUUCAAGUAUGUAUAUAUGUACACAUACAAGGGAUUUGGUUGGUUGGCAUUAUUUUCUAAAACAGAGGGGUUAUUUAUGUUGCAUAUAAAUUAUGUUAAACACUUUGUUUUCAUCCACUUACAUUUUAUGUUUUGCGGCCCCCAGGUUCUAGAUAUCCAAGGUCGAGACCACCAUGUCAAGGCAUCGGGACUGCUCGCUCUGUAGGAACUUCUUCUUUAUCUUUUUCCUACUUUCCUUCUUCCCGGGUUAUAAAUUAAAUCUUUAGUUGUUCUGGUUUCUCGUAUAAGUUUGGGUAGGGUGCGUGAGGCCCAUUUCCUUAAUUUUAGUUGUUGUGUGUGCCAUUAUCUUGUGCAUGCUGAAAAUUGGGGUUAUUUCUGUACUUGUUUGCAAGUAUUGUAAUUUGGGAAUUGUUCCAAUUAUAGGGAAGAUUCUGCCAAAAUUUCAAUAAAAGUCGAACUGUUUAUCCAUUUAAAUUAGGGCUACAUGGCUUUUUAGUAAUGCAGGUCCGGCACUGGGUAGAUGUCGGAUGGGAAGCAGAGUUCGUCACUAUAAUUCACGCUCAAGUAUGAUUUUCUAUAUUUGAAAUCCUUUUUCUGAUUUUGAAUAGCUUUUCUAAAUCUUCUUCAUAGAAAAAAAAAAUCCAUAUGUUGUCAUACAUCAAUUGAAGAGAUGACAUAUAAUACACCAAAGGGAAGAUAUUCAUCUUGGCCUUACUCAGGGGAUAAACGAAAAAAGGGGUGAAAUAAUACACAUGACUGACUAAAUAACUAGAAAGGGCGAUUUGAGAAAUAUUAGACGAUUUUUGGUCAGUGCCAUACCGAUGUCCCCCAUUUUCCAUUUUUUGGAAGGUUAUGGAAGACUUGGUUAGUCACACUGACCUAGUUCAAACAAUUGUUUGACCUCAACCUCAAAAGGUUAUCUCGCUGUUUAGACCAAAUUCAGGCAUCAACAACUUAUAUGGUGUCAUUAUUGUUUACUCAACUUGAGUUAAGCGUGGAUGUUUAGAUUUGAAGUAGAGAAUUAAAUUUUAACAUACUAUGAUUUCAUAUAAUUUAAUAAGAAAAAUACUUGCGUCCUUCCCUAGAGGUAGGAAUUCCUACUGUCUUGUCUAUCAUAAUUUGACAUGUGUGUAGAGAUUUAUAUUUUUAUAUUUUUUAUGAAUUAUUUUUGAAUAUAUGUAGUGUGAUUUGUAGGAAGUAAGAAUGUCUCUUUCUUAGGAGGGAAGCAAUGUCUAUUAAAUAACAUCUUUAAUGAAAUAGUCAACAAAUUAAUUUUUUUAGUAACUUCCUGAUAGAGUUUGUUAUUUAAUUUUUAUUUUAAAUUAAUCUAAUCUACAGGAAGGAAAAUUUAAACCUUGAUGCAAUUCAUUGCUCUGGCCAACUGAACUAUUUCAUAUUUGUAUUUUCACGGAGUUUAGAGCUGUUGUUAAAGUAAGUGAAGAGAUGACACAAAAUCGAAUAUGAGACGGAGUGGCCACGGACGUUUUGGGUACAGCAAAUCUUUACCGUCCAAAGAGUAGGCAGCUCUCAACCAAAAGCCAUUUAUUUUGACAAAUAAAAAAUCAUUAAUACCAUUUUCCAGAUCUUGAACAAACAAACAAACAAAUCAUGGUACGGAAAAAAACUCACUACUCCAAAACGAGAACAAACUCUGUUUGCACAGGAUUGAAUAAAAUGACACAAACACCCUCACUCCUCCAACGCUUAAGUCAUGUAAUGUGCGGAGAAACGCAACCGAGAUCAAAGGAUAUAUUCGUCCUUUUAAGGAAGUUCAAAAAUAGAAAGUGCCACUUCCUUCUCUCUCAGAUUUCCCCAUUAAGUAAAAAACGAUAUUUUAUUUUAAAUAAAGUAAUAAAAGAACAUGAAAAGUAACAAAAUUCGAAAAAAUAAAAUAAAAUCGCUGCCUUCACGCUCCGUCUCUGAUCUUUCUCCCUCUCUUUCUUUCCCAACUUUCCAACACAAAAAGCACAUUCUGUCUCUCUUUCAUUGAUUUCCUUUUCUCUCCUUUCUGGAAACCCUAAGUGACCUGGUUUUUUUUUUUUUUUUUUUUUUUUCAUUAACCAGGUCCUCAGAGGAGAGAACUUAAUUUUUUUUUUUUUUUUUUGGGGUAGAAAAAAAGUUGCAGGCUUUUUUUUUUUUUUUUUUUCGCAAAUUGUAGUGUCUAAGUUGCAUUGCUCAGCUGCCCUCGACAAUGAACGACCUGCUAAAGGUAAUUUACUUUUGUAUUGGUCCAUUAAUUUACGCCGUGGCUGGUUUGUUUCUACAUUUUUGGAGUUUUUCAUGUUCUGUUUUUGUCAUGAUCCGGCCCUCUUUGAUGUUAUUGGAUCUGCAUUUUUAAACGAGUAUUUUGAACUUUUGGAUUAUGGGAUUUUGUUUUUGGGUUGUCUUUGUUUGGUUGUUGAGAAAAGGAGGGAAAGUAUAGGAAAUUGAAAGUUUUAGAAAUAGAAUCAUGAGAUUUUGCGUUGUCUGGAGAUCCCUCCUGAGGAGAAUGUAGUUUGCUUGACUACAAGUGUUUGGUUUACUUCAUUCUAGCUCAAACAGCAUGAACUAGUAUAGACCAGCAAAAAAAAAAAAGAAGGAAAAAGUUGAUUUCUUUUCCUCCUUUUCUUCUUAUAUUCGGUUUGUGAGCUAUCAAAAAUAAUGGAUCUGCAUUUCUGUUUGAACCUAAUCUUUCUAAAUUAAACUUUGAUGUUAUAGUUAAUGAGAAGUACAUCUCUUUGUCAUUUUUGGAAUUAUGGUGUCGGUUUUUAUGAAUGUUGUCAUAUUGAUAAUUUGAAGUUGGAGUUUAAACAAUUAAAAAGGGAAACAAGGAUAUGAAUGGAAGUUUUCAGACGAGUAUAUACUUUUACAAAUGCUGAACGGAAGAACACUUUACAUAACUGGAUUUCAUUAGUGAUUGAGGCUCGGUUUUUCCUUGUAUAUCUGGAUGGGAUUUCCUUGUUUAUACUACUGAACAGAUACUAGACCGUGUCCUUAAAAAGAUAAAUAGCGGUGUUACAAUUUGGUUGCAUAAUUCUCCAGCAUAUAUAAUGUGUGUGUGUGUGUGUGUAUAGAUAUAAUUUUUUUUUUAAAAUUUAUUUAUUUCUGUUUGUAUAUAUUUCCAUAGAGUUCAGUGGCGAAAGGAUCCAUUCAAUUGAACUCAAGUAAUCUGGAUUACUGUGUUUUAGAGUUAAGUUCCUUGUCUGUCUGACCUAUUUACUAAUAUAAAACUUGCAGGAUUCUUUUGAGAUCCCUCGGGGUCAAGCAUCUAGAGAUGGAGAUAUCGAACUAGGAACAAAUGGUUCAAUGAAUUCUGGAGAAUUUGGUUUGGAGAAUUUCUUUAAAAAGGUUCAUUAGCGUUCUUGCAUCCUUUUCUUCUAUUUCCCUUGAAUACAUGCAAACGUGAUUAUUUUAUUUUGCUUCAACUUUUCCUUUACAUAAGUAUGGAAUUUAAAAUAUGUUUAUUUUGUGUUGCUUCUGUCUAAUGAUUUCAUGAUUUUUGCCCCCAGGUUCAAGAGAUUGAGAAGCAAAAUGAGAAGCUUAAUAAGCUCCUGAAAAAACUCCAGGUAUCUAAUGUUUUUCGUACAUUGCCAGAACCAUGACAGUCAGUUUGAUACUUCCAGCCUGUUAGUAUUUUCCAAAUCAUUUCAUGAUCAUGGUUCCUAAUGCGUGGGUUAUUUUCUCUGAUUUUUAUAAAUUUAUUACUCUGAACUAGGAGUCAUUUUAGUGUUGCGCUUAUGAAUGUAGCUGUUAGAUUUAGUUGAGAUCAAUUUAUUUUUCCUAGUAGCUUGAAAAAUUGAGUCCCAUUUUUGUUUAGUGUUGUUGUCUUUGGAAUUAUGUGUUUGAUGCCAGUAGAUGGUGGUUCAAUGAUAUUGUAAUUGCAAUUGUAGGUAUAUAGAUAGGAAGGGUCUUCAUUUGGGAAUUUUAGUUAUAAGGUGAUGAACAAAUGUAAAAACAAGGAACCCAAACAUAUACAAUGUUUAGAAUUGUAUAGCAACUAGACCAAGCUUUGCUUAUUUGCAUGCCAAUGCAGCAUCCAGAUUUGUAAUUAAGUAUUGUAUAAACUAUUGUUUGAAAAUAUUGUGUUAGCUUUUAUUUGCCUUACACAAUAACAUAAACAAUUAGAAAGUGUUUUAAAAAAAAAUGAGUCUUUGAGAUAUAACAUGCAGUUUUAUGUAAUUUCGUUAUGAAAUUUGUAUGCAGGAUGCACAUGAGGAGUCCAAGGCUGUGACUAAGGCUCCUUCAAUGAAAUGUAAUCUCGAACUUGUUGAUUUCUUUAUAAAAUGCACUUUUAUGUAAUUUGUUGGUAAAUGUUUGGCAUUCUCAGUUUUGUUUUAACUGCUAACUUCUUAAAAAGAUAGCAUAUACAUGUGCUUAUUUUUGUACUCAAAUAUGCUUUUUUGCGGACAAGUGGAUUUAAUAAAGGGGAUAGAUCACACCGAUAAUUUUUUAUGGUGUUAUCUCGUCUGUUUGCAUUCAACAACUUAAAUUUGAUUUCUUCCUGAUUAAGUCUUCACUGAUGAUGGAUCCUUUCAUCACAUGCAGCAAUCAAGCAGCGGAUGGAGAAAGAUGUCGAUGAAGUUGGAAAAAUUGCUCGUUGGAUAAAGUCAAAAAUUGAAGAACUUGACAAAGAGGUUUAACCUGAUUCAACAGAUAGCUGCUUUUAAUUAUGUGAUCAGAAGUAAUUUUAAUUGCUCGUCUGACUGACCUUUCCUUCUGGGUCCAGAAUUUAGCAAAUAGACAAAAGCCUGGGUGCGGAAAAGGAACAGGUGUAGAUCGAUCCCGAACAGCAACAACCCUGUAAGUUGCUAAUAGUUUAGUGAUUGGCCAGAAAAGUAAUCAUUUUGGUGUUCUUUGUUGUUUUAUUAUACAUUAUAGAAGUAUUGCCUCUUGUGGAUAAUCUAUUGAUCAUUGUGGUUUCCUCUUAUAUUGUUAUUCUAUAGAUGUGUAUUUCAUUUGAUUUGAUUGUUAUGGGCAAAUGUUGCAGUGUUGCAGUAUAGUUCUACUUUUCAAUAUGGCUUAUCAUUUACCGGUGUAUUCUUUUUGAUUUUAAAGAUUGUUCAACCACAACUUCAUUUAAGGGGUUUGCUUUUACUUAAUCAUUAUAAGAACAUGUCUGCAUGGAACUCAAAAGUCUGACUUAAUGGGAUUGUAUUUGUCAAUCAACCGAAUCUGACUUUGUCAAGUGUCCAUUGCCAUCUAUUGUUACAGUGCCUUGAAAAAAAAAUUAAAGGACAAGAUGGCUGAAUUUCAGGUAGGUCACGUACACACAUUUUCUUAUAAGAUUAGUGUUUUAAUCUUGUUUUGUUCAUCUUCUAUUAUAUUCUCUCAAUUUUUUAUUUAUUUAAAAUAUGUAGACUCUAAGAGAAACCAUCCAUCAAGAGUAUCGGGAGGUUGUCGAGAGGCGAGUUUUUACAGGUUUGAACCUUUCACUUGUCACUCAUAUGUGGCUAUUACUUCUGAAACUUGAUGCGCCAGAUUUCUCAUGACCUUAACAAAUUUUUUAUUUCUCUUGCUUUUUGUGAUUAUCAGUAACGGGCACAAGAGCUGAUGAAGAGGUGAAACUUUUUGCACUGUUAAAAUUCCAGUAUAUCUACACCAUUGUAAAACCUCGUGUUCUAAUUAGUUAUCAAUGUACAGACAAUUGAAAGAUUAAUUGAGACAGGAGACAGUGAACAAAUUUUUCAAAAGGCAAUCCAGGAACAAGGACGAGGCCAGGUUUGUCAUUUUUUUUGUUGUUACCUUCUCUUCCCCUAAUUGAGCACGUUUAACUAUCAAAAUUGGAAAUUUUGAGAACUUAAGCAAUUUAUUUUUAUUUUUUUGACAUAUCAAACAAUUUAGUCCAAACUGCAAUCUCAUCUGCUGAAGUUGUUAGCUUGGUCUAAUGAAUCAUCAGAUUUACUAAUUUGUAUUUUCUUUUUCCUUUUUCUCAUUUUUUUACUUCUCCUUUUUGUUAAAGUGAAAAUUAUACGUUUGGGAGAUACCAUGAGCCACUAACCAAUGAUGGUUAAGAUUGAUCACAUCUGAUUUCAAUAUUCGUGUAUCAAAUUGUAGAUAAUGGACACUCUGGCAGAGAUUCAAGAGCGCCAUGAUGCGGUUAGAGAUCUUGAGAGGAAGCUUCUUGAUUUACAACAGGUAUCUUAUUAGUUUGUGCAAUCAUGCUUACUAUUUGAUAAAAAUAUCAAGUUGCUAUAUAAUGCAUAUGUCUAAAUUUUAAAGUUUGCUUUGCCAUGUUGAUUAUAUAGAAUCAAACUGUUGAAUCUUGCUUCAUGGUGUUCUGUAAGAAUGUGUAGGAUCAGUUUGAUCCUGAGGUUGUCUCAUGAUGUGUUGAGCCUGUGCUUAGUGGCUUAUAAAACCAUGUUAUGUUCCACUUUUAAUGCCGUAAUUUGAUCACGUCUGACCUGGAGAAUAGCCCAACAGCCUUGAAAAGGGCUUGACAUACAAUUAAAUGGAAUCUUUUCCGAUCAAAUGGUAUCUUGAGGGGAACCUUGUGGAUUUACAAUGGGUGUCUUGUUAGUUUUGAAUCUUGCUUUAUGGUAUUUUGUAAAAAUGUAAUGGAUCAGUUUGAUCAUGUAUUUGUCUCAAAAUGUUCUGAGCCUGGGCCUCGUCAUCUUCCUCUUGGAGCUAAGUGUAUGUCCACUUUUAAUGCCAUAAAAUUGCUUUUGGGACGCCCUAGUAUGAUAUAAGAGAUGCAUGCCCGAUUGUCCAUAGAUACUUGGAUGUGUAAAAAAUGAAAAGGAAAUAGCAUUGCUAUUUGCAUACUGCCCAUAAUAGUUGAUAAAAUUUGGAAAUAUAUGUUAAAAACCAUCUCUUUUGCACAGAUAUUUCUGGAUAUGGCGGUGUUGGUGGAUGCACAAGGGGACUUACUUGACAACAUAGAAACCCAGGUAUUUUACCAGAAUCUCAAAGCAUGAGGAGGCCCCCACGAAUCUCUCAAAAUUAUUAAACAGAAAAAGAAGACAUGAGUUUGAAAAAUGACAACUGCUACUCUUGCAUCAUACUUCGGCAAAUGAUAACGUAAUUUGUCUUUACUUUCUUUCUCAAGGUAUCGAGUGCAGUAGAUCAUGUACAGCAAGGGAAUACAGCUCUUCAGAAGGCGAAGAAGCUACAGAAGAGUUCCAGGAAAUGGAUGUGCAUUGCAAUCCUCAUCCUUCUCAUCAUUGUUAUAAUCAUUGUGGUGGCCGUGCUCAAGCCGUGGAAUAGCAACAAGGGCGCUUAGCUCUAGCAAUUUGUACUUUGUAAGUAUAGUGUAUUACAACUGACCCCUCUGGGACUCCAGCAAAUCACAUGAAUAAUUUGCGGUUCGUUUUACAAACGUGGUUUCUAGCACUUUUAUUAUCCUAUGAUAAUGAGUGUGCAUGUAACACUAUUAAUUUGAAGAAACUGUCACUAUAUUCUUUAAUAUACAUAAAAUAAAAAACUUUAAAUCAAUUUUUUGUUUUCGUUCAGUCUAACUGAGUUAUUCUGAUCAUCGCAUGGAGAAGUUAGUUUUUUUUUUUUAAUAGACGAACAAACUUAGAGAGAGCAUCCUCUAAGGAUCUCUAAAUUUCUACAAUCAUACGUUUAAUUUUUAUCAAAUCAUAGCAAGCCAAAUACAAGUAUUACUCUUAUCACGACCAAUGUCACCAAGUUCACGUCUGCUUCUCUAUAAACAUGCCUUAGUUGAUUUAACUUGCAAAUUUAGCAUGAGUUCCUUGAUGUCAUUCAGAUGUGAAUAGUCUUCAAGGAGGACCAUAAUCUUUAUCAUUUAGAAUGAAUAAUCCGUUUCCCGAACUGCACAUUUCCAAAGACAGAGGAGCCGGAUCCUUAUUGAAGAGUAGCUAAAAUGUCAGGCUUAAUAAGGAAAUAUGAGUAGCUAAAUGAUUUCCUAAUUGGCAUUGGUGGUUGUUGUAGGGAGGCCAAAUCCAAAUGGGAGAGGAUCGUAAUGCUCAUCUCCAACAUUCAUAGGGAGCUGAUUAACGGUUUUGAACCAAGUGCGAGAAAGCUUGCUAGUAAAACCAGUCACCUAAUAAAAAAUAGCUACUCCUUGGCCUUCAGUUCAUGGAAGCCAAGCUGCAACAAGAGCAUCAAUCGAAGCAACAUAGGGUUGAAUCACAAUAGGAUGGCCGGAGCUGACGAUAACAAAGCAUUUCACAGCACCACAAACAUUAGUGAUGGUGCUCGGGCCGGGGUCGGGGAAUGUCAAAUUUAAGCUGUCACCAAAUGUCUCCGCAUAUGGAUGUUCUCCGACUACAACAAUGGCAUACGAGAAAUCAUUUCACUUUGCUAAGUCAGCGUCAGGAUUCUCCAUGUAGACUAACUUGGGAUUUUGGAUCCACUGUAUUAUCCUUGCAGGUUCUUGAAGCUUGAGCCAGCAGCCUUUCAGGCAUUUCAUGGGUUUUGAUAUGCUUACAUUGCUGUAUACAGAUUUGCAAGAGAUGCUGGGAGGAUUGAUUUGGAUGGAAUCGUUGAGAGGCUGGGUGUGCUUUUGGUUGAAAGAGUGUAAGGGUUUGGAGGGAGGUCUGAGGCGCAUUGACUCAUGACUAAGUGGUUUCACUCAGUUUACUACAACAGAAAAGCCACUCCAUGGCACCUUAAAAACACUGAAAGGCAGGCGUAGUGAUUGGAUAGUUCAUAAACUUGAUUUGUAAACUUGUAAAUACUUGUUAAUGCUGAAGUGUUGCGACACAGAUGUGACCUUCUGAUGUUUUCAUGUGAACCUUCAAACCUUCUAUUAACCAUUAUUAGAGCACUCCUUAUGCACAUGCAAUCAAAUCCAAUUUCAAGUGCAUAUGAGAUGAGCAAGUCAGCUUAGCUUGCAUAAAGAAAUUCUAGAGAUACCAAAUAUCAGAUAUGCUAGCAAGAAGAAAGCAGUUCCAUU
Molecule: long non-coding RNA, 46218 nt
Filed under: Prunus persica (peach)
Lineage: Eukaryota; Viridiplantae; Streptophyta; Magnoliopsida; Rosales; Rosaceae
Description: long non-coding RNA (PPER_LNC006764)
Source: RNAcentral